This 49797-nucleotide long non-coding RNA is filed under the name Brassica napus (rape). RNAcentral's name for it is "long non-coding RNA (BNAP_LNC001058)". Lineage: Eukaryota; Viridiplantae; Streptophyta; Magnoliopsida; Brassicales; Brassicaceae. The record is from RNAcentral.
GAGGAGGAGGUAUCCUUUCAACAAUUGCAUUCAAUAUCUCCGUUAUACCAAUUCCUUCCUGUAUCAAUCAAUCAAAUAUGUAUGCCAUCAAAAAUGUAAUUGAAUGGAUAGAGAGUUAGAUGUCUUUAAAUCUAUAUGUAACAGAAUAGCAAAAUGAUUUUAAAAAUUCUAACCUUUGCUGAGCAGAGUAUUGCUUUGCUACAGUCUAACCCAAUAACCUACAAAGAAUCACAAAGCAAAGUUAAAAGGCAUACAAUGAAUAUCUAAGACAAUGUCUAACAGAAGGUAGAACCUAGUUAAAUGUACUGAUAACAUUUUUGACAACAGCAAGAUAAAAGACUGAGAAGUGUUUUAGCAGACACCAAAGAAAGAAUACUAUUCAUAUUAUAACUGGCUGCAUUGCAUGAUUUAUAUAUCAUAAAGAUGGGCUACACAAUGAAGAGAAUCACUAACCUCCUCAAUCUCCCUGAGAACUUGCUCUGGCUCAGCGCCUGGGAGGUCAAUCUUAUUCACAACCUACAAGAAGAAGUAGAGUCCUUUUGCUUUAAACUCUGGUAUACAGACCAAAUUGUUGGACAGUACAUUAUUGUUUCCUGAAUUUUCAUAAAUCAGAUUCAAGAAAUAACCAAACGUUAAAUGAUAUCAUUAUUUAUCCUAGAGUAGCUAUUAUUUACUUCAUUAAGCAUCUUCUAUGAACUGAUAGAGUGAUGCUAACUAUUUCUACGACAUGGUUAGCCUAUUUGAAAGUUAACUUAUUGUAGACUCUGACUUCUAUUUAACUAAAUAAGGCAUUGACGUCACUGAAUAGUCUACAAAUGGUGACCAAACAAUGAUGAAUAAGCACCAAAUAUACUUGAAAAAAGUUAUCAAGCAUGAAUCCGUACUUACAGGAAUGAUUUCGAGGUUGUUUUCAAGAGCCAAAUAAACGUUGGCCAGUGUUUGCGCUUCCACACCCUAAACACCGCAUAUUAAGGGAAAGUAACUUAGAAAGUUUUGUACUAAUGUACUUGGUCACAUAAAAAAAGACUGUAACACACAUUCACAAAGCGCAAAACAGCUAAAGCAAAUACAGAUUCAAGGAGAAAUAAUCACCUGAGAUGCAUCCACAACAAGAAGAGCACCCUCACAUGCCGCAAGAGAUCGAGAAACCUAUUAACAAAUCCUUAGAUAAAGUCUAUGUUGGAAAGAACAAACGGAUUAGAAGAUUUGAAGUGUACCUCGUAAGAGAAAUCAACAUGACCAGGAGUAUCAAUCAAGUUGAGGCAAUAAGGAGUAUCCUCAUACACAUAACGCAUUCGAGCUGCCUGCAAACACACAUCAGAAAAUUUACAAAGUCAGAAACUUUACUCUUAGUUGAUAGAAACAAAAACUAAUAACAAAGAACCUGAAGCUUAAUGGUAAUGCCUCGUUCUCUUUCUAAAUCCAUAUUAUCAAGAAACUGCUCCUUCAUAUCUCUGUUCUGAACCGUACCAGUCACCUGAAGCAACUUAUCCGCCAACGUAGACUUCCCAUGAUCAAUAUGCGCUAUUAUACUAAAGUUCCUUACUUUCGAUAUCGGAACCUGCAAUUUCCCAAAAAGAUCCAAUUUUUAAAUCCGAAUUUGUCACACAUAGACGUAAAGGUUCUUUAUCUGACCUUCAAAAGACGGUCUUGGCCGGAGCGGGCGGAUAGUUUGGAGUUAGCGUCGGAGAGGUUGCUGCUCUGACUCUGAGGCUGAGUUCCGGCUGUGGCUUGGCAAAGUAUUUGUAGCUUUCGGUUAGAGUGGCGGUGGAGGGUGGAGAUGGGAAGGGAGGAGAGACGACGGAGAGGAGAUGAAGAAGAGGAAGAGGUUGGGGAUAAGAAGAAGGUUGGAGGAGAUAAGUCCAUAGCAUAAGCCAUGGCCAUUGGCACUCUCUGUGUCACUCUUCGGACCUCUUCUUAUGUUUUUGAGUGAAAAGUCUUCUUUUUCUUUCGUUUUGUCUUAAAGAGUUCUGAACCACAGGAUAUCCGGAUCAGACCAGAGACGAUCCGACACAAGCAGACCAAAAACUAAACGAAACAACUCAGUAAACUGUAAACCUUGUGAACUAGAUGUUCGGUUUGGUUUUGGUUUAGUUUUUGAUUUUUUGGUUCUGUAAUUAUACUAACGGUUUGGUUAUUCAUGAAAUUUGGUUUAAUUUUUGUUCAAUUAUUUUGAUUUUCGGUGGAAGUAAAAUUUUCUAGAGUUUUUACAUUUAUUAAAAAUAUAAUAAAUUUUUACAAUUUAUUUUUGAAUACACUUUCUAAUAACUGUUCGCUAAUAAGAUUUAAUCAAGGGCAAUUGUCAAUAAUAUCACAUUUUGAAGUUUAUGUCUCAAAAAUGACACUAGAAAAAGAAAGUCACAAAAAUGACAUUCAUUAAAGGGUAAAAUAUCCAUAAUACCAUUAGUUUAAAAUUAAAUAAACAAACAAAAAUAAAUAAAAUAAAAUAAAAAUAAAAAAAUGAAAAAAAAAUUUUUUUUUAUAGUUUCAGAUUAUAUGUUUUCAGAUUCGAAAAUUUUAUAAUUUUUUUUGAAUUUUUUUUUUUAGAUUAGACCACAAGGAGGAAAAUGACCAAAAUGUUUCAUUUAAUAGGUAAAAUGACCAUAAUACCCUAGAUAUAUAAAAAUGAAAAAAUAAAAAAUUAGUUUUAUAUUAUAUGUUUUCAAAUUCAAACUUUUUUAUAAAUUUUUUUUAUAUUUUUUUUCAAAUUUUCUUUUUGUAAUUCGAAAAUACUUUUUGAAACUAUUUUUAAAAUUUUUAUUUUUUAUUUUUUUUAUUUUAGUAUUUAUUUUUUAUAAAAUUAUAAACCCUAAUUCUAAAACCCCACCCCUUAACUCUAAACCCUAAGGUUUGGAUUAAUUAACCCAAGGGGUAUAAAUGUAUAUUUACCUCUCUAAUGAAACCUAUUUUUGUGACUUUGAGCUUUGAGUGCUAUUUUAGGAACAAAAAUUUGGUUUGGUGCUAUCCUAGUCUUUUUCUCUUUAAUCAAUUCAAAUAUUUAUAAUUAAUAUUUUAUUAAAAAUAUAGAAAAUUAAUUUUGUGAAACAAGAAUAAACUCUAGAAAAAAUUAUUUUCAAAAACGAAAUGAGUAGGUUUUAAUAAGAAAAAAAUAGGGUUCGGAAAUCCAAAAAUUUCAACUGGACAUAAAAAACGAAUGUUCCUACACAUCAAGAAAAAGAAAUUUAAAAAGCUUUUAUAUUUGUUCAAAAUUGUUGUGCAAUGAAUGAUUCUUCUGGUUCAAGACUGUUGUUGAACCAAUGAUCAAGCACUCUGGCAAAUAAUAUGAGACUUUUUAUUUCAGUGAUGAGUUGAUUAAGACUUUUUUAUUUCAGUGAUGAGUUGAUUAAUGUUUUUAAUCAUUGUCAUAAGAGAGGGAUCUUCACAUGCCUUAAGACUUAGUUUAAUCAAUCCCCUUUGAAAAGAAAAGUCUAAUAAACAUUUCCGCAGUUUUGGUUUUUCUCCUUCCUAUAAAUAAGAAGAGUGAGAAAAAGGGCAAAGAUUCGGUUUUUACUUCAGAAAAAUGUCGUGGUAAUAAGAGAAGAAGAUUUGACCAAACCAUCACCGCUUGUGACUGUCUGUCUCUUUUUUUUUAACUUUGAGAUUAAAGAAAAGAAAAAAAGUUUUUGACUUUUCUUCCUAAUCAAAGCUGCUUUGGCUUUGGCUUCAGUUUAAUGGUGGCCCAAUCGUUCUGCUGUUGAAUGAAUCAUUUUUUUUUAUUUUUUCUUCAUCAUACUACUACUCUCGGGGCCUUGACUUUCUUUUUCUUUUUAACAUUUAUUCUUCUCGUGUUCCUCUUUCCUUCUACUUGCUUUUGUCUUUUUGUCCUUUCACUGUUCCCUCUGUCGUGAAUCCCAAGCUCGCAACUUUUGACGUCUUUUCCUCUUCUGGGUAAGUUCUUCUUUUCUUCCUGUUCAUCUGCUAAAAACCCGAUCUUGCGUCUUAAGUCUAUGGAGAGAGAGAAGAGGGGUUUGUACAGUGUUUGACCUAAAGGUGUGAAAGUGUUUUCAGAACAUUGCUCCAAGGCGAUUGCAAUGUCUUGACACGGUUUUGUCUGAAAGAUUAUGUUUCCCUUUUGAGUCUUUGAUCUGACUUUUUUUUCUUUUACUUGUCCUUUCCGACAGGCUAUUACCCUCAAAAGUCUCGAGAUUUUUCUUAAACUGGUCUCAACUCGGUGGACAUGAUCUUUCAGACAGCUUUAGUUUGAGGUCUUUUUUGGAGAAGUUAUGGGGAGUUUUUGCUCCAAGAGCCUAGGAAUAAACUUUGGCAGUGAGUACUCAGGUUCAAGCGUGACUGAUGAUAUACGAGAACACGAUUUUGGCUACCAACAACAACAAGCAACUGGUCAAAACUGUUUAAUGGGUCCUCCUGGUACGAGACAGUGUAUGGUCAAAGACGCUAAAGAACAACCAAUCCAGCUGAAAGAUAUGUUCUCCUUCCGAGAAAGAGAAGCUGAAGAUAUCUACGAUGGGAUUCCGAGGUUACCAUCGUCUCAGAAACUCCGGCCUGCAAAAUCUACUCAAACUGCUGUUUCAAAGGUUAGUUUGGACGAAUUAGGAUCGGGGCUCUGAAACCAUAUUAAGUUAGAGGAUCUUUCAACCUAAAACCAACCUAAAACCAAACUGGUGAUAAGUGGAUUGGUCCCUUAAGGCUAAGAUAUGAGCUUUCAACUUAACUCAUGUCUUAGCGUUUAGGUUGUAGUGUUAAAAGGAUUGUCUAAGAGAUGUGGAUUGGAUUGUACGGAUCGGACUCUGAUACCAUAUUGAGUUAGAUGAGCUUCCAAGUUAUAAGUCGAUUGGUCCCAUCUAUCUUAUAUAUUACUUUUCCUUCCAACUUCCAAUAUACUUAGCAAAUGAAAUUGUCGCUUGAGUGGCAGGUUACAGAAGUAGGGAGAGCGGGGUUAGGUAAAGCGAAGGAUGUGUUGGAUACACUUGGGAGUAGCAUGACUGAUCUUAGCAGCGGUGGUUUUACUUCUGGAGUUGCAAUUAAAGGCAAUGAGCUUGGGAUCUUAGCCUUUGAAGUAGCAAACACAAUUGUCAAAAGCUCAAAUCUCAUUGACUCACUUUCUAAGCAGAACAUCAAGCAUUUGAAAGAAACUGUCAUUUAUUCCGAAGGUGUUCAGAAUCUUGUCUCUAAUGAUUUUGAUGAACUUCUCAGACUAGUUGCUUCUGAUAAGAGGUGAAAAUUUUCGAAAGUCAUAGACUGCUUUGUUAGCUCUUUUAAAAAAAAACAUUGCAAGAUAGUUAAAACUUGUUGUGUUUGCAGGCAGGAGCUGCAAGUUUUCUCAGGAGAAGUGGUUCGGUUUGGAAACAGAUCUAAAGACUUCCAGUGGCAUAAUCUACAGCGCUACUUUGACAAGUAACUUUAUAUAGAAUCUUUAUGUGUUAUAGCCUUUCUUUUUAGUUGUUUAAUUUUUUUUUUUUGUAUUCUCAGGAUUAUCAAAGAGUUAACCCCUCAAAGACAGUUGAAUGAAGACGCAGACUUAGUUGUUCGCCAACUGAUGGGUCUAGUGCAGUAUACUUCUGUGAGCGAAUACUUUCUUGCUACUUUAGUAGCUAUGUGUCAUAUUAAAAUGUCAUGAUGUCACUCAGACAUGACUCUUUUUGGUUCAGGAACUAUACCAAGAGCUUCAAGUAUUGGAUAGAUUGGAGAAAGACUAUGAUCAAAAGCGCCGAGAAGAAGAGAACUCAGCUAGCAGCAGUAAAGGUGAUGGCCUUGCAAUCUUAAAAACGGAGCUCAAGUCCCAGAGAAAGGUAGUGAAAAGCUUAAAGAAAAAGUCCUUGUGGUCAAGAGGUCAUGAAGAGGUACUACUACUUCUUUGUCAUUUAAAUUGCAUUUCACAAAAUAAAAUACAGCCAAAAACUAACCUAGAUUAUUGUGGUGUGUUCAUCUUAACGGCUGGUUUGUAUUACAGGUGAUGGAGAAGCUAGUAGACAUUGUUCACUUCUUGUUGCUAGAGAUUCAUAACAUCUUUGGUGGUGCUGGUAUGUAAGUUCCUCCUUUAUGUACUUUCCACCAUGUGCUACUGAGCAUGUAUCCAAAGCUUUUGAAUGUUAUCUUAUUGCUCAGAUGAUCAACCAGCGAAGAAAGGAGCAACGGAUCAUGAUAGAAGAUUGGGACCUGCUGGUCUUGCUUUACAUUAUGCAAAUAUAAUUAUGCAGAUUGAUACACUUGUGAGUGCUCAAAACAAUAGCCUUACUUCAUUUGGUUUUGUUGGUUCUAAUGUGUGUUUUGAUGGGUAUAGGUCGCUCGUGCAAGCUCUAUAACUUCAAAUGCAAGGGAUUCUCUAUACCAAAGCUUGCCACCUGAUAUAAAACUGGCUCUCCGUUCCAAGAUUAAGUCCUUCAACGUCGAUAAAGAGGUAAUGUCUUCUUGUCUACACUCUCUGAUCUACAAAACUGAAGAAAGAAUGUGCUCUUAUGUUUCUCCUUACAGCUUUCAGUGACACAAAUUAAGGACGAGAUGGAGAGGACACUGCAUUGGCUUGUCCCUAUUGCAGCCAACACAACCAAGUAAGAAGCCUGACCAUUCUUUCGUUACCUUGACUUAACAUUAUGGCUAAAGAUUGUUGAAUGGGUUGUUCAUUGCAGAGCUCAUCAUGGUUUCGGUUGGGUUGGAGAGUGGGCAAAUACAGGGUGAGUGGUUGAAUGAAAAUGAGACACUGCAACUGCUCUCUGCUUGCAUGUUUUUUCAAUGUUUUUGUUUUUACCUUUUCAGGAGUGACUUCACUAGUAAGCCUAGUGGUGGAGAGAUACUACGAAUCGAAACACUUUACCACGCUAGUAAAGAAAAGACAGAGAUCUACAUUCUUGGACAGAUCAUUUGGUUACAGCAUUUGGUUACAAAAGCAAAGAGUGAAGCACGUGGAGGUCCUAAGCUUUCUUCUAUCAAGUCUAGGAACCAGCAAUUGGUAUCUGAACCACUCAGUGUCCCGUUAGUAACAGAGGAGGAACAAAAGAUGUUAGAGGAGGCGAGCAUGAGGAGGAAGAGGGGAACUCCAUGUGUUAGCAAGAGUCAUGAUUUUGAUUCAGAGUACUCGCGUGUGAGGAAGUGUGACCCUCUGAGCAGAAGCAGUGAGUAUUUUCGUGGAGUGAGAAGAAGCAAAUCAGCUGCUGUGAAGAGGUUUUCUUCAGGUUUUCCAUUUCUUGAUUUUGUUAUCGAUAAGGAGAAGGCGUUGGAUGUUAUUGAUCGUGUUGAUGUGCCGAGAGAUUACAGAGCGUUGUUGAAAGAAGGUAGCUUAAGCUUCUAAUGGAGUGUGGUUGAGGCCAAUGUACAAAACUGGCUUCUGGUUCAUGUGUUGGGUUGUACAUAAGAGCAUAAGAGAAUGCUGUUGGAAGAAGCUGUUUAUGCGACAUGUUAGAUCAUUUACAAUAUUUUAUUCAAUAUAGUGGUACACUUUUCAGAAAGUUUCAAAUAGCGAUGAUGAUUAAAUGACUUGCACCAUUCUCUAAACGCAGUAAGAGACUAACAUCAAGUAAUCAUAAUCAUACAUUGAAAUUAGAAUCUGCAAGACUUGAAACAUUUAUUUCAACAAGUAAAGUAGAGGCAAAAGAACCAAAAAUUCGAGUAAUAGUGAAUAAAUAUGUUCAACAUCAUCUCGCAGCUCUUACAAAAAAAAUGAUGUGAAUCGCAAUGCAUUAGCAGCGCCACCUUAAAGCAUAGUUUUUUUUUCGUUAUUGUCAACAAAAGAAGAAAAUGAGAAGAGGGCAUAUCCAAAAGAGAUGAAUCAAGCACUUAAGCUGCUGCCUCCUUGGAGAUCUUCUCUGCUUUCGCAACCACCUCGUCAAUGCCACCAACCAUGUAAAAUGAUUGUUCAGGAAGAUCAUCGUACUUACCAUCGAGCAAACCCUGCAACAAUUUACAAUUCAUAUUAGUUCAAAUAUAGCAAAACAAAGAUGUAGUGAAGAAGAAAGUCAUAUGUGCAUUAUAUACCUGGAAACUGUUGAUGUUUUCCUUAAGGUCAACGUAUUUUCCAGGGGCACCCGUGAAGAUCUCAGCAACAUGGAAUGGUUGACUCAAGAAUCUCUGGAUCUUACGGGCACGGGCAACGGUCAGCUUGUCAUCUUCACUUAGCUCAUCCAUUCCCAAAAUGGCAAUAAUAUCUUGCAAGUUCUUGUAGUUCUGCAACACUUUCUGCACACCACGAGCAGUGUUGUAGUGCUCCUCACCAAGAAUGUGAGGCGAGAGCAUACGGGAUGUUGAAUCCAGAGGAUCCACAGCAGGAUAGAUACCAAGCUCGGAAAUCUUCACAUGGGAAAGAGGAAAGUAUCUUUAUAAGGAUUACACAGAGUAUUUUUGAAAAGACGCAUCAGAAGGAGACAAGUUCAGACCUGUCUAGACAGCACGGUUGUGGCGUCUAAAUGAGCAAAGGUUGUGGCAGGAGCAGGAUCUGUCAAAUCAUCAGCAGGGACAUAGAUGGCUUGGACAGAGGUGAUAGAACCUUUCUUGGUGGUUGUGAUUCUCUCUUGAAGAGCCCCAAGAUCGGAAGCAAGAGUUGGCUGGUAACCCACAGCAGAUGGGAUACGACCAAGCAAAGCAGACACUUCAGAGUUGGCCUUCACAAGAGAGUAUACUGAGUUAAUUACAACUUCUUUAUCAAACUACAGGUACAGAGAAAUAGAGCAAACGACAAGGCUCACCUGAGUGAAACGGAAAAUGUUGUCAAUGAAAAGCAACACAUCUUGGCCCUCAGCAUCACGGAAAUACUCAGCAACAGUCAAACCAGUAAGUCCAACACGGGCACGGGCACCCGGGGGCUCGUUCAUUUGUCCAUACACAAGAGCACAUUUGCUCUCAGACUGUUAGAGAGGAAAAACAAAGAGAACUCAGCAACAAAGAAUAGGAAAAGAAUAGGUGAAGAAUAAUCCAAAUAAUUUGAAAACCUGCUUCUCGCCUAGCUUGAUGACACCACUCUCAAUCAUUUCUCUGUACAAGUCAUUCCCUUCACGAGUUCUUUCUCCCACACCAGCAAACACGGAGAAACCACCUUCAUCACAAGAUACCAGUUAAUAACUAAAAUUAGAGCCCCAUAGGGCAAACUACUUAGGGAAAUCAUGAGAAUACAAAUAUACAAACCAUGAGCUUUGGCGACAUUGUUAAUCAGUUCCAUAAUGAGCACUGUCUUCCCAACACCAGCACCACCAAAGAGCCCAAUCUUUCCUCCUCUCUGGUAAGGAGCAAGCAGAUCAACAACCUGGAAUGAAAAGCAACAAACUUUAGCUUGUAACAUGAACAACAACACGUGUAGCCUAUAAUAACAAGCCCAAAAUCUACCUUAAUACCAGUGGCAAGAAUCUCUUGCCCAGUAGCUAGAUCAACCAAAGCUGGAGCAUCUCUGUGAAUAGGUAGGUAGUGCUCAGUCUCUACGCAACCGCAAAAAAAAAACACAUUAUCAUGACAUUUUCACUGAAAUUAAAACACUGAUCAAAAGUAUCUCAAAAACACUUACUAAUCUCGCCUCUCUCAUCAAUGGGUUCUCCAAGAACAUUCAUAAUACGUCCAAGAGUAGCUCUCCCAACAGGAACCUUAUAAAGAGAAAACAAAAUAAAUGAUUUAAACACUAAGUUCCUUGUAAAUGAAUAUACUUUAGUGUAUCUUCACAAAGUCAACAUAGAAUUUAACAGAUCUAAACACGUGGAAACUACUUACGGUGAUCGGAGCUCCCGUGUUGAGCACGCGCCUUCCACGAACGAGACCCUCAGUACCAUCCAUAGCAAUAGUCCUAACAACAUUCUGACCCAAGUGAUGAGACACCUCAAGCACCAGCCUCGUGGGAUGAUCCUGCACCUCGAGUGACGUCAUGAUCGGAGGCAACCCUUCCUGAUCUUCGAACCUCACAUCCACAAUGGCUCCGAUCACCUGGCAAACCUUCCCGAUCGCGCCUUUCCCGCCGUAAUCGUAACUCUUCUUCUUCCCCUCAUCCUUAGCUGGACCAGCCGCAGCUGAAUUAGCCGGCGAGGAGGUUGAAUACUCAGCGACGCGUCCGAGGAUGUCGCCGAAAGGAGCUGCGCGGCGAGCUGGGGAAGGAGAGGGGAGCCUAGGGUUGCGGCUUCCGAAUUUGGCGGCGGAUCUGGCGGAGGAUGAACGGAGAAGCGACGAUAAGACUCUCCGAGACGCCAUUAGUGUGAAAGAGGAAAUGGCUAGGGUAACUACAGUACCUGGAAUCUAUAAGAUGGUGUGGUUCUGUUUUAGGAAACUUCCAUCGUUAUUGGGCUUCUGUAAUGCGCUUAUUUGGGCCUAAAUCAUGCUUUGGAGAAAAAGACUGAUGUACAAAUAAUAUUUAUGCUAAAUAAUAUUUAUGCACUUUAAAAGCGCCAGAUUGAAUUUUUGAUUGAAAAUUGUAUUGUCUAUAAAAUGUAUAAUAAUUAUACAAUAUCUGUGAAUUUAAAGAUAUAUUAUGUUUCUAUUUUGUGUAAACGAUUUUAUAUAGUUGGCUAACAUUAUAGGAUUCUAAACUGUUAGAAUACGUGGUGUUUGUUUGAAUUUGUAUCCUGUAAAUACAGUGUGAUUAUUAAUAUUUUUGUGAUCGUUAAUAUUCUAAAUAAACAACCUUCUAAGUUUUUUUUGGGUAAAAAAUAGAAGAAAGUUGAAAGUGUUUCUUAACAUUUACACCCGAAAAAAUAAGUGAAUAAUUUUUUUUAAAAAAAAAUCUCCAUUUAAAAUAGUAUGAAAAUCGAUCAAUGAAAUGAUUUUCAAAAUUUCACCCGAUAGUGUAGUGUAUUACUUCCAACUUGGAAGGUUGGUAAUUCUUAAUUUCUCAUGAUAUCCCAAUUUUCUUCAUAUCUCUAUAAUUUUACAAGAAAUUUUAUUUAUCCUUAUUAUGUGAUUAAUAAAAUCUGUGCAGAUACAUUUUAGGAAUAUGGGAUAUUGUGUACAAAUACGUACCUAAGAGUUUAAUUAUUUGUUGUUCAAAAAAAAAGUUUAAUUAUUUAUGUGAAAACAGUAGGGGUGAAAGAUUUGAAUAAGAUUGUGAAUUUGUAAAAAAUAUUUUUUUCCAAGUGAUGAGAAUAUUUAAUUGGUUAUUUGGAUUCGCAAUUAGACAUGUUUGUUAUCGGUAAAUAUUAUUUUAAUAAUAUUGAUGACUCAUAAAUAUUUCUGCGAAGAAUAGUUGUGAUUCUUUUUGUUUUUGACAAAAAAAUAGUUGUGAUUCAUUUGUUAAUGAGUUGCUAAAAUAUUGGACUAAUUGAUUGGCCUGCAAAAAGGUGAAUUGUUAGAAAAUAAUAACUUUGUUAGUGAUAAAUAAAAGAUAAUGACACAAGUGUAAUUUUUAGCAAAAACCAAGGGAACCUAUAAAAAGGUUUUUGUUUUAAAAUUAUAGAUAAGUAGAUAAAUUUUGGUAGGUUAAAGGUUGAUUGGAAGAUCAUGCCAAACACACUGUUUAAAGAAACUAGCGUUAUUAAAUUGAAAUCUCUAAAAUAGCUAACACAUACAAAUUUCAUAUACUGAUAUACAUUCAUUUGUAAAUAUGCCGAAAGAAGAACUGAUUGAUCUCACAAUUCAAGCUUAUUAGUAUCACUUAUUGUUAAAUUGAACCUAUUUCCAACAAAAAAAAAGAAUAAGAAAGAAAGUGACAAAAUAUUUUGAGAAAAUAAAAAACUAUAUUUCAUAGAUUUUUCCGUAAAAAUUAAUUUUUAAAUCACAAUUGAUCAUUUUUAUGAUAUUCAAGAAUAAACAUCAUUAAUAUUGACCAUGAAUAUGUAAGACUGUGUAAUUAACAAAUACUAUAUGUACAAGCACUGUACAACUGUUUUAUGUGUAUACUAGUUUCUAUUUAUUGUUUAGAUUUGAACAUUGUUUUCUUUGAGUAUAAACGGUCAUAAAAUUUCAAAUGUCACAAGCUUAAAACCAAUAAUAGCCACAAAAAUAAGGUAAACAAGUGGGUUUGAUAGAUUUGAACAUUGUUUUCUGUGGUCUGUUAAAUUUUUAUUAAAAGACAAAAGAUGACCAAUCAUAUAAUCAGCUAUUUGAAGAACUAAAUUUAUACAUUUAACUUUUGUGAAAUUAAUCUUUUAAUUAAACACAUCAAACUAAUUUCCAAAAGCAUUUAAAAUGCUUUAAAUCUGAUUGAGAGCUAGCACCUUAGGAGGUUUUUCGGAAAUUUAAUUGAAUUUUCACUAUUCAUUUCAAACUUAAAUGAAAUCAUUCUCUUUAAUUUAAAUAAGACAUAACCUGAAAAGCCAUUUAAUCCGCAUAAAGCGCUAACAAUCUUAUGUGAUGUUUUUCUCUUUUUUAUUUUAAUCUAAAUGUUAAACUUUAUAUCAAUUUCUUGUUUUUUUUAGUGUUGUGGAGCAAAUCUUAUUAAAAUGAGCUAAUAUUAAAUAGAUGAGAGAAUUUAACUCUUAGGAGAUAGAAACCAAAAAUACAACUCAAUCAUGAGACAUUUUCUUCCUAUGGAUCCAAACAUCUCUUUAAGGUAUUCCCAAAAACACCAAUCUAAUCCGAUACUUGGUACAAUCAACUCUAUAAACACUUUGCACUCUUCUAUUAGUUCUAACUUUAUUUAUAGUUUAAAUAUUAAUUAACUAAUUAUUUAAAGAAAAAUGAUAAUUAUUAUUCCAUAUAUUCCACUUUAUUUGGUGUUUAAAGAAUUUUUUUGUUGCAAAUUAAGUGAUGUUUUCAAUAUUCUAGAUGAAAAUUUAAUGUACUUUGAUAUUUUUGACCAAUUACAUAAUAUUGCAUUUUUCUAAUUGGUUGAAUUAAUUUUAUUUAUCAAUAUUUUUAUGUAACCAAAGUACCUUUUAUAAUAGUUAACAUUUUUACAAAUCUUUAUGCAUUAAUUAAUCUUUAAAAUCAAGUGGGGAGUAAAUUAGAAGAGAUGGAUAAUUCCACAGCGUUGAUUUAAUUGUUACGGACACUAACAUGAAAACCAAAGAAGUCGAAUUUUCUUAAUAAUUUAAUUGUUAGGCCCAUAAAAGCCCAUUUGAAAAGCCCACCAGAAACAACAACGGAAGCAUCAGAUUCAGGUUCUGUAAUUACCCUAAGCAUAUUCUCUCUCUCUCUCUCUCUCUCACAUACACACUAAUGGCGUCUCGGAGAGUCUUAUCAACGCUUCUCCGUUCAUCCUCCGGCAGAUCCGCCGCCAAAUUCGGAAGCCGCAACCCUAGGCUCCCCUCUCCUUCCCCAGCUCGCCGCGCAGCUCCUUUCGGCGACAUCCUCGGACGCGUCGCCGAGUACUCGACCUCUUCGCCGGCUAAUUCAGCUGCGGCGGCUCCAGCUAAGGAUGAGGGGAAGAAGAAGAGUUACGAUUACGGCGGGAAAGGCGCGAUCGGGAAGGUGUGCCAGGUGAUCGGAGCCAUUGUGGAUGUGAGAUUCGAAGAUCAGGAAGGGUUGCCUCCGAUCAUGACGUCGCUCGAGGUGCAGGAUCACCCCACGAGGCUGGUGCUUGAGGUGUCUCAUCACUUGGGUCAGAAUGUUGUGAGGACUAUUGCUAUGGAUGGUACUGAGGGUCUCGUUCGUGGAAGGCGCGUGCUCAACACGGGAGCUCCGAUCACUGUAAGUAGUUUAGAUCUGUUAAUUCGAUGUUGACUUUGUGAAGAUACACUAAAGUAUAUUCAUUUACAAAGGAAUCAUUUUGUGGAAUGUGGGAUGACUAAUUAUUUAUUUUGUUUUCACUUUAUAAGGUUCCUGUUGGGAGAGCUACUCUUGGACGUAUUAUGAAUGUUCUUGGGGAACCUAUUGAUGAGAGAGGCGAGAUUAGUAAGUGUUUUUGAGAUACUUUUGAUCAAUGUCUUGUGUUUAGUGAACCUGUUAUGAUAAUUUGAUUUUGCUGUUGUGUAGAGACUGAGCACUACCUACCUAUUCACAGAGAUGCUCCAGCUUUGGUUGAUCUAGCUACUGGGCAAGAGAUCCUUGCCACUGGUAUUAAGGUAGAUUUUGGGCUUGUUCCUAUAGGUUACACGUGUUGUUGUUCAUGUUACGAGCUUAAGUUUGUUGCUUUCUUUGCAGGUUGUUGAUCUGCUUGCUCCUUACCAAAGAGGAGGAAAGAUUGGGCUCUUUGGUGGUGCGGGUGUUGGGAAGACUGUGCUCAUUAUGGAACUCAUUAACAAUGUCGCCAAAGCUCAUGGUUUGCAUUCUCAUGGUUUCCCCAAGUAGUUUGUGCUCCAGCUUUGGUUUAUUAAUUGGUACUUCUUCGGAUGAACAGGUGGUUUCUCCGUGUUUGCUGGUGUUGGAGAAAGAACCCGUGAAGGCAAUGACUUGUACAGAGAAAUGAUUGAGAGUGGUGUCAUCAAGCUAGGCGAGAAGCAGGUUUUCAAAUAAUUUUGAUUAGUCUUCACCUUCCUUUUCCUGUAAAUGGCAUUUGAUUGAUCUUUGUUUCUGAGCUCUUUGCUUUCCCAUCUAACAGUCUGAGAGCAAAUGUGCUCUUGUGUAUGGACAAAUGAACGAGCCCCCGGGUGCUCGUGCCCGUGUUGGACUUACUGGUUUGACCGUUGCCGAGUAUUUCCGUGAUGCUGAGGGCCAAGAUGUGUUGCUUUUCAUUGACAACAUUUUCCGAUUCACUCAGGUGAGCUAUGUUGUUUGUUUUAUCUAUCAGCGCCUGUGUGCCAUACAUUGUGAUAAAGAGAGUUGUGAAUUUAACUGAUUCUACCCUUCUGUGUAGGCCAACUCUGAAGUCUCUGCUUUACUUGGUCGUAUCCCAUCUGCUGUGGGUUACCAGCCAACUCUGGCUUCCGAUCUUGGUGCUCUUCAAGAGAGAAUCACAACCACCAAGAAAGGUUCCAUCACCUCUGUCCAAGCCAUCUAUGUCCCUGCUGAUGAUUUGACAGAUCCUGCUCCUGCCACAACCUUUGCUCAUUUAGACGCCACAACUGUGUUGUCUAGACAGGUGUGAACUUGUCUCCUUCUGAUGCUUCUUUGAAUAAUAUAUUGAUACUUUGUCUUUCCCAUGUGAAGAUUUCCGAGCUUGGUAUCUAUCCUGCUGUGGAUCCUCUGGAUUCAACAUCCCGUAUGCUCUCGCCUCACAUUCUGGGUGAGGAGCACUACAACACUGCUCGUGGUGUGCAGAAAGUGUUGCAGAACUACAAGAACUUGCAAGAUAUUAUUGCCAUUUUGGGAAUGGAUGAGCUAAGUGAAGAUGACAAGCUGACUGUUGCCCGUGCCCGUAAGAUCCAGAGAUUCUUGAGUCAACCUUUCCAUGUUGCUGAGAUCUUCACCGGUGCCCCUGGAAAAUACGUUGACCUUAAGGAAAACAUCAACAGUUUCCAGGUACAUAUCACUUUCUUUCCUCCUACAUCAUUGUUUUGCUACAUAUGAACUCAUUUGAACUGUCAACUGUUGUAGGGUUUGCUUGAUGGCAAGUACGAUGAUCUUCCUGAACAAUCAUUUUACAUGGUUGGUGGCAUUGACGAGGUGGUUGCGAAAGCAGAGAAGAUCUCCAAGGAGGCAGCAGCUUAAGGGCUUUGAUUCAUCUCUUCUACUCUUCUUCUUUUGUUGACAAUAACGAAACAAACAAAACUAAAAACCGAUGCUUUUGUCUGAGUGUGAGGGAUCAAUACCGAGAAAACAAAUUUUAUUCGUUGGAGUUUUUGCCUUGCAAUAAAGGAGACGAGUGUUAUGUUUUUCAUCUGUAUUUUAUUAGCUUAGUUAUGUUACUUCCCAUUGCUUCUGACUGCCAACUCCUUGUUCCUUGUAAUAAUAAAAUACAUAACAAUAAUACCAAAACACUACUCACCGUCUUGUAAUGAUUAUAUUACUUUCUUCUUUUGUUCUUCUGUCACUACAUAUUAUUCUUACAGGUACACUAGUUUCUCCCUCAAGAGUUGAAGAAUUUAUAUAUGUAGUAUAUUAUUCUUACAAAUAGAGAUCCAUUAGUUUCUUUUGAUUAUGAUGUACAAAACAUUAAGAAAGCAUAAAGAAACAAAAACAUAUGUAUAUGUAUAUGAAAUGUAUUCCAUGGAGUCUUCAAAAAUGUUCGAGAACUGCUCCUGUAUGAUUAAAGCCACAAGAUAUAUGCACUGCUCUUACAUUCUUUCCCAGGUUCACCAUUGCUGGUAUCGCAUAGUCUACAUCGCUACCAUGUCCCUGCAGUUAAACAUACCAUAACAUUUAUUCAAUUUGAUGCCAUGUCUCAUGGAUUCUUUAGAUAGUAUAGCAAAAUGAACCAAGAACUGAAAUGAUGUCGCAUUCACAUAAGCUAAUUGUUUCAAAGAUUUGAUCGAUAACAAAGAUGAUGAAACAAACCAGUUGUCCACCGGAGGAGUGUCCGUCAUCAGAGAAAGUGCCGUGAGAACCUCCCCAGCCCCAGGUAAAGACUUUGUUAUCUGCAAACACGAUUCAGAAAUGAAUUGAAUAACUUGCAUAAUCAAAAUGGAUAAAAAAUGUUUUACCUGAAAUGGCUGCAGUGUGCUUCCACCCACAAGAUACAUGAGUUACAGUUGAUUCCAAGAAAGGACCUUCGACUCUCACAGGGGAGUGUGAGACAUAUGUUGACCUGAAACAAAUUUAAGAUAAAACUGAAUACAUGUACAGUUGCAGAUCUUAUGAGGAAACAUACUAAUCAAUUAGGAAAUGACUUACUCUGUGCCAAGGCACCCAUUUUCGUUUGAACCCCAAGUGUAUAGUUCCCCACCUCCUUACAAAAACGAAGGAAACAACAGAGACUGAGUUCUUACCAAAAAGGUACUAAAGAAUAAUAGAGAAUUUACUUGUGACAACACAUGUGUGGUAACCACCACAUGCAACUUCUUCUGCGUAUGGCACUUCACUGAUAAUAGAUGGUGUUGUAGCAUUCCUUACUCCUCCAAAUCCCUAUAAAUUCGCACCAUAAAUAACUAUAAUGUAACCAUAGUUAGUCUAGAAAAAAAGACAUUUUAUUUACCAUCUUAUUUAUAGAUCUCUCUCCGAACAUGAAAGUGAUAAGCUUCAUUAUCGUUACGUGAGACAGAGGAAGAACAGAGGAGGAGAGAGAGGGACGCGGGAAAAGGAAGAAGAAUUGAAUACGAAGGAAGACUCUGGGGCGUCUAGAGGGUCUUGAGACAGGAAAAGAUUGGAAGACUCGGAUGGACAGAGAAGGUUUGCCGUUAUGUUCGUUGAGUAGCUUUAAAUACGAGCCUGCGAGCUCAUUUGUGGGUAGCUUUGUAUUUUGGAUUAGAGACGAUAGUCUUGAGGAGAUCUCGUCUGGGUUAAGCCAGCGAGUCUCGGUUGAUUCACAAUACAAAGUGUAAACACCUUUUCAUCAUAUCAAUAAAAAUCAUCUUUCGUUGUGUUCGUGAUCGAGUUUGUAGAGAGACCUGACGAUCAAACUCUAUCAAUUGGUGCGGUGAGCAGCUCGCGAUCAUUUCGAUGGAGGAAUCUGAGGGAAGAAUCGAGAAUCUGGAGCAGGCGGGACGAGAGACGGAGAAGACGGUGAAGGUGAUCUACGAAGGGUGGAGGAAGCUUACGGAGGCUAAUACACAAUCCGAUGUCCGUUUUGGUGAAGUGGAGUCGCGAUUGAGCUCCGUUGAGUUUCAGUUACAGAAGAUCGCCGCCGCAAUCGAUCGCAUCGAGUCGAAUACGGCGCCAUCAAAGCCACAUGGCAAAGACGUAGCGGAAUCAUCCGAUCAUCAGGUACAAGAAUCUAUAACUGAAACGGAGAAUUUUCCGUCAGGUUAUCGGCGAGGUACUGAUAUGUUUGCGAGUAGGGAGAGCUUGUUGAAGAAGAUUGAGUUACCAACCUUUGAUGGAUUGAUGCCAUAUUGUUGGAUUCGUAAUGUCGAACGUUAUUUUCGCGCGGCAAAGUAUAGUUCACAAGAAAAGCUCGAAUUGGUGGCUUUGAGCUUGACUGGAGAAGUAUUGAAUUGGUAUCUGUGGGAGGCUGAAGAGGAGAAGUUCGAGAGCUGGACUCAGUUUAAGCAACGUAUGCUAGAACGCUUUGCAGAGUCCAUUGAUGAUGAGCCUCGCAACAAACUAUGUGCUCUGCGUCAGACUGGUUCUGUACGUCAAUAUGUCCGUGAGUUUGAAGAGCUGAUUACUCAGGUGAAGGGCAUUGAUGAACCAAAUCUGAUAAGCAAGUUUUACACAGGCCUGAAACAGGAGAUGAAGGAAGUUAUCAAGCUUAAGGAACCAAAAGGUCUGCGUAAUCAUAUCGCAGCAGUCGUCAAAAUGGAGAGUAGUACCUUCUGUCAAGUUAUGGGUGAACGUGUGAAACCAAGGCAGACGGAUCACUAUGCUCCACAACACAAACAGCAUCGACCUAACAACUAUAACCAACGUAACCUGCAGCCACUUGCUGACGACAAGAGUAAGCAACUGGAACCGCAAAAGAACUUACCUCCGAGACCACGAUUACACUUAACUCCAGCUGAAUUAGCUGAGUUGAAGAGGCUAAAGCUGUGUUUUAAAUGUAAGACGAGCUGGUUCCGAGGUCAUGUGUGUGCGAAUGCAGAGUUAAAAAUCUUGAUGCUGGCUGAGGAUAUAGAAGUAGAAGUGUUACAAGAUACAUAUAACGAAGAGGAGGAAGGGGAAGAUAAAAACAUGGAGGAGUUGCAGUCACCGCAAAUGAUGGAGAUUUCACUCAACGCUUAUAUGGGGAUUGACUCUCCUGCAACAACAAAGCUGAGAGGGUUGUUAGCUGGUACUAAAGUGGUGGUGUUAAUAGACAGUGGUGCCACACAUAAUUUUGUCACACCUCAGAUAGCAGCGAAGGCAGAACUCUUAUUCCAAGCGAACGCAAAAAUGCAAGUGAUCUUGGGAAAUGGCGUUUCUAUUCAUGCGGGAGGAGUCUGCAACAAUGUUAAUUUGGAGUUGCAGGGACUUAACUUUACAAUUGAUUGUAUCACUCUGGACCUUGGCAAAGUGGAUGUAGUGCUAGGAGUUCAGUGGUUGAGGACUCUUGGUACAUGUGAGAUCGAUUGGCUUUCUCAGGAGUGGAGCUUCUGGUAUGAAGGCAAGAAAGCGAGUUUAACUGGUGAACAAGAUCUCCAUCAGAUGACAACGUCAUUACAAAGUAUUGCUCAAGAAGACAGUCAAUGGGUGGUACCUAAUGAAGCUUGGCUCUGUGAAAUGACUACUACCGAUCAGACAACACAAGAUCAGUCUCCGGCAGUGUCAAAAGUGUUGCAGGAUUACGAGCACAUUUUCGCUAAACCGCAGUCUCUUCCCCCAUUCAGAGGACGAGAGCAUGCAGUAACGCUUAAGGAAGGAACUACUGCCAUAAAUGUUCGACCUUACCGUUACCCUCAAGCACAUAAGGAAGCAAUGACUGAGAUGGUGAACGAGAUGUUGGAAAAAGGUCUGAUCAGGUUAAGUCGAAGCCCUUUUUCAAGCCCUGUCUUGUUGGUGAAGAAACAAGACAAAUCUUGGCGUUUUUGUGUGGACUACCGUGCGCUCAACCAGGCAACCAUAGCAGACAAGUAUCCUAUCCCUAUGAUAGACCAACUACUCGAUCAACUUCAUGGAGCUCGAGUGUUCUCUAAGAUGGAUCUAACUGCAGGGUUUCAUCAGAUCAGAAUGGAGGAGAAGGACAUUCCUAAGACUGCUUUUCGAACCCACGAUGGUCAUUAUGAGUUUUUAGUAAUGCCAUUCGGCUUAACUAAUGCUCCCUCUACCUUCCAGUCACUGAUGAACGAUCUGUUCCGUCCUUUCCUUAAUAAGUUUGUGCUGGUAUUCUUUGAUGAUGUGUUGAUCUACAGCAAGAACGAAGAGGAACAUGUUCAUCACUUGGAGGCAGUUCUCAAAGUGUUCGAGAAACAUCAGCUCUUCGCAAAUAAGAAGAAGUGCUUGUUUGCUCAGGAGAAAGUCGAAUACUUAGGACAUGUCAUUUCAGCUGAAGGAGUUGCUACUGAUCCUAAAAAGACAGAAGCUAUGAGAACUUGGCCUACUCCUAAGAACAUCAAACAGCUUCGUGGUUUUUUGGGGCUAACUGGGUACUACAGACGGUUUGUACUAGGGUAUGGUUCUUUGGCCCGUGCUCUUACUGAAUUGCUAAAGAUUGACAAGUUCGAGUGGUCUCCGUUCGCUCAAACAGCAUUCGAUAACUUGAAAACAGCGAUGCUUACGGCACCGGUUUUGGCCUUGCCGGAUUUUACGCAAACGUUUGUAGUUGAGUGUGAUGCUUCAGGGUUUGGGAUUGGUGCAGUAUUGAUGCAACAGGGUCGUCCGAUUGCUUAUUUUAGCCACGGCUUGACACCUCGUGAACAGCUGAAACCGAUUUAUGAAAGAGAGCUUAUGGCUGUGGUCUUGGCUAUUCGCAAAUGGAAGCAUUAUCUACUAGGACGUCGCUUUGUGGUUCACACAGAUCAGAAGUCUCUUAAGUUUCUAUUAGAGCAACGUGAAGUCAACAUGGAGUAUCAGAAAUGGUUGAUCAAACUAUUGGGGUAUGAGUUUGAUAUUAUCUACAAACCGGGGAUUCAGAACAAAGCAGCAGAUGGUCUUUCAAGGAUUGAGCAUUCUUCACUACAGCUAUGCUCUUCAACGUUGCUAGCAGUCACGGUACCUGCUUCUCUUCAGUUUCAAGAUCUGCUUGCAGAAAUUGCAGCAUCGCCUGAGAUUCAGCUGCUAUUACAGAGAGUUCAAGAGGGUGAUCCAAGCUUGAAACAUUAUUCAGAAAAGGGAGGGAAAUUACUAUACAAGAAUCGCUUAGUGAUUCCACAUGACUCUCCACAUGUUACUACUAUUUUGAAGGAGUGUCACGAUGGGUUACAAGGGGGCCAUUCGGGUGUUCUCAAGACAGUUAAGAGGAUACAACGCUGGUUCCAUUGGACGGGUUUACUAAAGACAGUUCAGAAGUAUGUUGCUGGUUGUCACAUUUGUCAAACACAUAAGUAUUCAACGCUGAACCCAGCAGGCUUACUUCAGCCGCUUCCUAUUCCGGUGGCUGUCUGGGAGGAUUUGUCGAUGGAUUUUGUUGAGGGUUUACCAACUUCUUUUGGGUAUAACGUCAUCUUUGUGGUGGUUGAUCGACUGAGUAAAUACUCGCAUUUCAUUGGUCUCAAACACCCUUUUCAGGCGAUUGAUGUGGCAAAGAAAUUUAUUGGAGAGGUGGUGCGUCUGCACGGGUUUCCUCGAUCUAUUGUAUCUGAUCGUGACAAGAUUUUCUUGAGUUCCUUUUGGAAGGAGCUGUUCCGUUUAUCUGAGACAUCAUUGAAGUUCAGCACGGCUUUCCACCCUCAGACAGACGGUCAGACUGAGGUUCUCAAUCGUUGUAUGGAAACUUAUCUUCGGUGUUUUGCUUCAUCACACCCACGAACUUGGUUCAAGUUUCUUUCUUGGGCUGAACUGUGGUACAACACGUCAUACCAUACAUCCUUGAAAACUAGUCCUUUUCGAGUUGUCUAUGGACGUGAACCUCCAGCAUUAUUGCAGUAUGAGUCAGGAUCAACUACAAAUGCGAACUUGGAGAAUAUGUUAGUUGAGCGUGAUGCAAUGUUGGUCAGUAUCAAAGCCCAUUUGGUUCAUGCGCAACAACUGAUGAAGAACAACGCUGACAAACACAGAAGAGAUGUGGUGUUUUCAGUAGGAGAAAUGGUCUAUCUGAAACUGCGACCAUACAGGCAACAAUCCGUAGCUCGACGAGUUUGUCAGAAGCUUUCAGCUAAGUACUUUGGACCGUACGAAGUGCGUGAGAGGAUCGGAAAAGCGGCUUAUCGUUUGGCUUUACCUCCAGAGACAAAAAUUCACCCAGUCUUUCACGUGUCUCAGUUGAAAGCAGUUCUGGGAGCUGAUCAUCAGGUGCUUCCGUUACCAGUUUCACCUACGGGUCUUGAUGAUGUUAUCGUUGUGCCGGAGGCUAUCUUGGAUACUCGUUACAAUGAUAAAGGAAGUUUAGAGUUGCUAGUUCAGUGGCGCUCCCUACCUCCUUCGGAGAACUCCUGGGUGUUAUACAGAGAGUUUCGUGCCCAGUAUCCUGAGUUUAAGCUUGAGGACAAGCUCGGUUUCGAAAAGGGGGGUAUUGAUAAGCUUCAUUAUCGUUACGUGAGACAGAGGAAGAACAGAGGAGGAGAGAGAGGGACGCGGGAAAAGGAAGAAGAAUUGAAUACGAAGGAAGACUCUGGGGCGUCUAGAGGGUCUUGAGACAGGAAAAGAUUGGAAGACUCGGAUGGACAGAGAAGGUUUGCCGUUAUGUUCGUUGAGUAGCUUUAAAUACGAGCCUGCGAGCUCAUUUGUGGGUAGCUUUGUAUUUUGGAUUAGAGACGAUAGUCUUGAGGAGAUCUCGUCUGGGUUAAGCCAGCGAGUCUCGGUUGAUUCACAAUACAAAGUGUAAACACCUUUUCAUCAUAUCAAUAAAAAUCAUCUUUCGUUGUGUUCGUGAUCGAGUUUGUAGAGAGACCUGACGAUCAAACUCUAUCAGAAAGCAGAGCCAUUCUCUGCAUUAUUUGGAACCAAACCUCAGAGGCUCAGACAGACAGUAACUACCAGUCUCGCACAAUACUCAUAAUUGAAGAAAGUAACUCAAUACCAUCAGUACAUACUGUAUGCAGCAGACCAGCAGCAACGCUUUUAACCUAGUGUUCAACCAAAAGAACAGACAAGCUGUUAUUAGCAAGAGAGUCUAAAGAUUAAUUUUCAUCUAAGAAAUUACCUUAAUCCCCUCAAGUUCCUUGAUAAGCCUUGGAGUAAACUCACUACAAGCGCAGUACAAGAAAACUAUGAAGGAAUCAUGAUAUGAAAACUCUUGUGAGUAAAAAUUUACAUGAGAAAGAAACAAAUAUAGGAAUUAAGCAAAAACAGACCAACCUUUUACUUUUUAAGAUGCCAAAAAAACUGGACUCGUGACCGUGGCCAAGUCUUCCAGAUCCUCCUCCACCCCAACUCAGGACUUCACCUCCAUCUGCUCCAGAAAGAUACUUAAAACACACACAAAAACAGGUGUUUAAGAAUCUAGGAUCCGUACCAGUAACAGCAACUGAAUGCUCUGAUCCUAAAGCCACUGAUUUGAUGGUGAUCCCAUUCAGAGCCUGCACUUUGGUUGGUACAUGAACCACUCUUGCAGCAUCUGUAUAAUAGAAACGAAUAUGUAAAUAGGCAAGCAACUUUGAUGAAUUAGGACAUAAAUCACAGUGCACCAUAACUUAUUGAAAUGUAAAAACGUAAUUACUUUUUCCAAGUCCAAGCUGUCCACUAGUAUUCUUUCCCCACAUGUAGAGUUCCCCAUCCACUAACAAAAAGAAAGAGAGCACAGAUGUGACCAAGUAAGAAAUAACAUACAAUUUAUGUAAAGCACUGUACUGCACCAGAAGAUGUAAUGAAGAACAUUGUGCUUAUUUACCUGUGAUAGCAGCAGAGUGGUAAUAACCAGCUGAGAUGUGCAGUAUAUCAUUUUCAAUUCCAGAAACUUCAAGCGGCUCCUACAACGUUUUAUACACAAGAAACAAGUUCCAAUUGAAUACUCUGAGAUAAAGACAUGUGAAAAACAGAGAAUCAAAGAAAAACAAACCCUAUAGUUUUUUGCAAAAACCUACAUACCAAAGCAUGAGUGUUAACAUGUGAGACACCAAGUUGGCCACAAUCAUUAAGACCUGUCGCAAAGACUCUCCUUGUUUCUGUCACAUAGUGUAGGAAGUGUAUGUUAAGCUCACAAUCAGAUUCAAAAAAGAUUACUUUACAACUAAAACACCAAACAUGCCUAGUCAGAGCCGGAUCUGGGCACAGCAAUCCGCCUAUAUAGCUAGUUUAUAUAGGCCCAAUGGCCCUCACAUUGUCGAUUUUUUUAAUUAAGAUUAACUUUUUUAAAAAAUGUUUAUAACCUCCUAAAUCUCAGAUCAGUCCAAUUAAACUAAGCCAAUAAAUAAUAAAGAUCCUAUCACUCAAAUUCAAAUUCUGAUCAAAUAAAUCGAAUUAAAGAGGGAGAUGACGAAAGAUCACCGGUGAGGAAAAGAGUGUGAGCUCCGCCGCAAGCGAGAGCUCUAAUACUGUGAUCACUCAACGCAGAGCAAACGGCGGGUCUCCACCGAGACUCCAAGCUCCCUAGCCCUAACCUUCCGUAAUCUCCACUCCCCCACAUCGCCGCAAAUCGUUUCCCGCUCUCGCUCGACAACCGUCUUCUUCCACGGGAAGCACCAAUCGUCGUAUCCAAUUUCGAAUUAUCGAAAACUCCAGUGAAAUGAUUCUUCGAUCGUUGAAUCGUCGAUCCAGAGAUUCGAACUCGUCCCAGGGCUCUAGUCAACAUUUUGAAUACAGCAGGUUAAAAUGGAUCGUUCUUCUUCUAACGAAUGUGAGAGAAGAGAGAAUUGAUCAUGAGGAGAUUGAGCUGUGUUGAUGGAAUCACAUGAUGGUGAAGAAGAAGGAAGAAACUGAUGGAUAGAAACAAUGCUACGUCUUCUUCCCCGUUAUUCAAUUUCUGAGAGUGUUGUGAAGUUUUUUUUGGAUAUCGGUCCUUCUAGUUUUCUCAUUUUUCAAAUUUCGUCUUAACAUUUUGUUUUGUACAUAUUCACACCCAAAUAUAAUUAAAUUUUUUUUUAUCAAAUAGAAUAAUUAUGAUUAUUUUCUAAAAGGAAAAUUUCAACUUAGGUUAACGAAUAAUGUAAUCUUUGAGAUUAACUAAACGUUAGAAGUUGAAAGAAUCAACAUUUACCAAAUUGAAAGAAUCAACAUUAAUACAAUUCAAGAUUCAUAUACAUUACAUUUGUUAAAAAAAAUUUCAGCGGUAGGAGAGGAGAAGCACCACCACAACAUCUAUUAGACCUAAAACAAAUUGUUUGAACUUGGAAGACAAGAAGAGUAUAUGAACUAGUCAACAAAUAGAGGUAAUUACUAAGCAUGCAGAUUAUUGCAUUCUCCUGGAUAUAAUUAGUGUCAUUUUCAUUCACUAAAUCAGUUCUAUGUUAUGAAACAUUCUCAUAAUAGUCCAAUCUGCGAGGGAAAUGAGAACAACAUACUUUUAGGGCCACUAGUAACUUGGGAGUGUGACAGUGUGUGGUGUGAAAGCCAUGAGAGAGAUGUGGAAAGCUUUAUUCUCCUGUUAAUUACUAACUUUAUUAAUUCGACUUCAACAAAGUUUAUCCAAAACUUAAACAAACAAACUUAUCAAGUGUUAUGUAAUAAGGAAACACAAACGUGACUCUCAAGACUUAAAACCCCAAAUAAAAAAAAACAAAACACAAUCCAAAUGAAACCACAAAAAAACAAUAUCACUUAUUGGGCACGUUUGUGACUUGUUGUUGUUGAUGGGAACUUGCACUACUGUUCACAUUACAUAGAGCCACAUGAGGAGGAGACUCGAAAGAGAAAACACACAUCCUACACUCUUGAUCAAAGGAGUCGUUCUUGAACGUGCAUCGAUCGCAGAACCAGUAAUCAGUGGUUACAUCCUCAUAAGCAUCAACCUUAACAUCACACAAACCAUCUUCAAGAGUCUUUACAAAGAAACGGAAGUAGUUGCCAGUUGUUUCUGUUGUGUCUCCUAACUUCUCCCUAAAGGCAAUGAUACCUCCACCACCUGAGAUGAUUCCAUCCGUCACCUUAUGUAGAGUCUCUUUAUGCUUAGAAAGAUUUGCAGUAGCUUUCUCCCGAAGGUAAUCAAGGUACUCCUUCUUGGCGAUAUGGUAAUCACUUAUGAAAUAACCAAACACGCAGCUCCAUUUCAGCACAAGUCUGCAUUGAACAGUUAGCAUCCAUGCUUCUCUUAUAGCCUUCAUGUCUAGCUCUCUUAAACAAUUAGCAUCCAUGAUUUUUUCCUCAACGGCUUCAAGAUCCCAUUUAGAUCUCUGCAAUGCGGCAUCACUUGUCUCCCAUAGUGUCAUGUGACGUAUUAGAGCCAAGUCAUUGCUUGGUUGGGAAACGGAGCAGUCAGUACAUUUCCAUACUCCAUCAUGAUUUUCCACAAGACUGUAGCAUUCAGGACAAUGCUUGAUCCUUUUAGUGGUCCGCGCAAGGUUUCUUGAUUUAUACAAUAGUUCAUUCAACCAAAGGGAAGCAUUGUUGCAAGUCACCGGUCGGUGUGACUCUAGCUGGCAAUUCCAACAGAAUAUGUGACCGCACAAACACACCACAUCAAAGUCUUCUGAUGGAACCUCAUCAUGACGCUUGAUGGCGUAGUCGUCGCAGUCAGGACACCGUUUGAUUGUUUCUUUGUUGCUCUCCAUAAAAGAUGCUAGAAGGUAUCUCUCGUACAUCUUCUUCACUGGCUCUCCGAGUUUCUCGACCGUGUCUGGUCCAACCGACGCGUGACAGUCUUGGGUCAAGCAAGAGAUCAAUAGUACUCUCUCGUCCUCCUUCUUCUUCUUCUUUAGAGUUUUGCUGAGAUAAUCUCUCCAGCAAUCUCUAGAGAACUUAUGUGAGCAAAAAGACGUGGACAUGAGAUUAUCAUCUCCUUCACCGGUCACCUCAAGAUCUUCAUCAGAAGAUCCAACCAAACCUAAUUCCGACAGAAACUUCUCCUUGUCGUCUACCAAACGAUCUGAAGCCUUGCACAAGUUCCAACAUAGAUGGACUAGGAUCACGGUUGCAUCAGACAGCGACAGAGAGAACACUUGCGAGAUCUGAACUACUUCCUUCAUCAUCUUCUCACGAAUCUCCUCUCUCGUAUGAACGGAGUAGAGUCUUCGCCCAUUGUAGUUCAUGUCUGUAAAAAAGAAAAUGAGAUUCAAACCUAACAAAUAGUGAAAGAGUGUUAUGUAAGUAAAUGGGAGAAUAUGUUAUAAAUGACAUACCGUUGCUGCGGGUCGUUGAGGAAGAAUAGGGUUUUAGUAGCUUGUGGAACAAGUUAAAACAAAAUCUCUGAGGAAUGGUGAUUGAUAGUGCUAAUGAGUUUCGUUUUUGUUUUUGUCAACGACUAGUGAGAGUUUAUAACUAACUAACAACACGCGGAGAAACAGUGUUUUUGAAACAUUAUUAUUUUCUCGACGUGUCUGAAAUCUGAAGACAAUAUAAUACUAUAGUUUUCAUAAAUGAUCAGUUAUGAAUGAAGUUGGCUUUCACGCAAUCAGUUGGAAGAGAUGAAUCACAGCUAAGAAACGCGUGAACACAUUAGUCUUUUUUUAAUCUUGUUUUUAUCUCAAUCCCCCAGAGAUGUUCUAAUAUUUAAUCUAUUAUAUUUGGAAUCAAGAACUAGUCACAGAACCUUGGUCAGAGACUUAUCUGAUGUAACUGUAAAGUAAUUGAAUCAACAUCAGAUUUUGCAAACCAGCUGAUUCCAACUUUAAACCGGUGUUCAUCAGUUGGCAGUCUGAUCAAAUACACCAGUUAUCUUGCUGCGUGACGGAUUGGUUCUUCAUCAAGUGUAGAUUGGGAUGCUAAUCUAUUCUGUCUCUCAUGGUUGACAAUUUUCUUAAACAAAAGUUAAUGGCUCCUCUUAAUUUAAAAUCUUCAGAGUAUCCUUAAUGAAUCAUUUCCUUUAAAAUUUUCUCAACUAAUCAUCUAUUACCAAUUGGGUUUCGACAAUUUAACCUCUCUUCCAUUUUGGACAAAUCAUAAUUUUCCUCUCAUUCCUUCUUUUGAUACUUUCUCUUUCAUUCAUCUCUUUCAUUGUUUCCUCCUUUGCAACAAAUUCAUGAAAAUUUGAGACAACCACAAAUAUUUAUCAUUUUGUUGUUUCAAUCUACUCUCAUAUAAAUUUUUGAUGAAAUAACAAGAAUUUGCUUACAAAUGAAACAUUGAUGAUGCUAAGAAACUAUUAACAGACUACAAUCUUUUUUUCCCUACUAAGAAACAAAGAUGAUAGAGAACUUCUCUCUAACACAUCACAACACAGUAAAAAAAAUCACCCUCCUCUUUUUUUAUCCCCGUGGAGCAAAGAUCCAAUUCAAGAAUGGUUUCUGCUCUGGUGGGUCCAGCCAGGAGUUGAAAUAGUCAGAAGGCUGAUACAAGAACUGAGGGACAAAAGCUUCACUCUGCAACAAGACCACGGAACCACCGUUGCUGCUGGAUCUGCUGCAUCUUCUCAGGUCACAUCUGAACAACCUGUGGGUAGUAAGCUUUGAUAUCUUGCCUAUGGAGAGCAGAGCGACUAAAUAUUUCAACUUACCAACACAAUACACAGUGUGUUUUAUUUGGAAGCUAAACUAAAUAUUUCAACUUACCGACAAAAUAAUUUGUCUUGGAAACAGUUAGACAUGUGUACAGAACUAGAAAAGGAAUCAGAAGUCUUGAGCAUUUGUUGGACAGAAAAAAAAAAGGAAUGGCAGAGAUUAACUCGCUAGUCAUUGUGCAAAGGUAAAAACGCGUCAAGUUGGAAUUUAGUCGGUGGAGGAGUCUGAUGCUUCCUUGUAUUUAAAACUGUCAUUCAUGCAAACAAAGACAAUCAGUUAACAUGGCUAAAGAGAGAUCAUAUAUAAUUGCUCUUCUUCUUCUUCUUCUUUCUCUGCUUCUGUGUUUUUCAUCUCAAUCUCAAGUUGGUGUUGCCGAGGCCAAACGUCACACACGUUAGUAUUUCUAUCCAUAAUUUUCAGUUAUUUUAAAACUGUUCAAGUUACUAUAUACCUGGUUGUUUUAUAUAGAAAUUUGCUCGAUCAUGACCUCUAUGUACACCAACAUAUUCAGCACAUAUCGUCACAUAAUGCCGAAGUCUUCUUUUUUUUUUUUUUUUUGUAGUUGCUACCAGGUAUUCAGAUUCUCGAUGCGCCAAUAAAAUUCUCAAAAUUCCAAGUAAAUUUCUGUUCCAAAAUUAGAAAACAAACAUUCUUAAAUAAAUUGUCCGUACAUAGUUAUGGUUCAAGUUUGCUGAGGGGGUGUAAACUAGCGCCAGUGCUAAAGAACCUAAUAAUAUGAAUUUGCACGUCUUGGAAAGAGAUUCACUUCAAUUCAGAGAAUGGGAGAUGACAAGUAAGAAGUAGGAAUGAGAUUUUGGUUUGCCACAAGAAGUAUAGCAUAGACAUAAAGAAAAUUUUGUCUUUUACAUUUUCAAAGUAAGCUACACUUGAUGUAAAACAAUGGCUUUUUGAUUUGAAUAAAUUUAACAUUCAAUUCAAAAAAAAAAAAUUUGGACGUCCUGGCUCCAAAUUUUGGGACAUUGUUUUAUAGCUUCCAAGUUAUUAUUUUUAACAUUAAAAGUGUUUAUGGUAUUUUAAAUCUCAGAACCUGAAAAUCAAAGGAUUACACCUCACUCGAAGUCACCCAAAGGAAAAGGACCAUAAGUGAUAAAAUGAAGUUUUCAAAAAGUGAAGGAGAGUACAAGAAGAGUCGACUUUAUAAUUGUGUAACUGUUAAAAGUCUAUCAUGGAUUUGCUUAUACAUAAAUCAAUAAAUGUUUCAUAAACCAGAUAUAUUCCAAAAACUUAUGUGGAAUUUUUAACCUAAAAAGAGAAAUAGUCUUCAAUUAUGUUUCUCUUUUAGCAUAAACAAUUAAAACCGAGAAUCUGUUAAAUCAAUAAAAAUAUAGGGUUGCUAUAGAACCUAAAGUGGCUCUUGAAAAAGGUGGCAGUGAAAGUAGGAUACUGAAGCAAACAGUGAAGGAAGUGCAACACAUGAGUUACUUUUCUAUAGAUGAGAGCUGAAUGAUGUGCUUGUUAACACAAAAAAAAAACCUGAAUGAUGUGCUGAUGUAAGAAGAGUCAUGUAAAGGAGACUAACACCUAAGGGAAGUAGGGAACUAAACUCAAAACAUGGAAAAGCAAAAUUGCACAGAACAUCUAACACCAUGAAAGAAGCAUCUGUGGAACUGAAGAAUGCAUCAUAUAAAACACUUUGGGAAUGUCAAACCGAAGCAUGCAGCAAUAUCAUUGCUCUAGAGUAAGCUAUGAUCCCUUUCUUUUCACUGUUUGUAUAUUCAUCUACAUUAGUGCAACUGGUAUCUUGAAGAAUGUAUAAUUUUUCAUAUAAAUUUCUGAUGAAAUAACAAGAAUUCACCUACCAAUGAAAAAACAUUGAAGAUGCUAAGAAACUAUCAACACUCUACAAUCUUUCUCUCACUACUAAGAAACAAAAGAUGAUUGAGAACUUCUCUCUACCACAUUACAACACAGACCAAAAAAACCUUUCCCUCUCAUCCUUUUUAUCACCCCUGUGGAGCAAAACUCCAAUUCAAGAACGGUUUCUGCUCCGGCGGGUCCUCCUGCCAGGAGUUGAACUCAUAAGAAGGCUGGUACAAGAACUGAGGCACAAAAUCUUCACUCUGCAGCAAAUCCAUGGAGCCACCACCGAACAUGGAAGCAUCAAAAGCAUUCUCAAACUCCCCCCAUUUAGGCUCGCUCUGAACCUCCCUCGCAUCCGGCGACACCACGCGACCCCCCGAGCUGCUCGAGUCAUCCUCUUGCAACGUCGGGUAAGUCGAGUCCGACGCAUCGAAAGGCGAUGAAGCCGCCGUCAUGGUCAUCGGUUUCUCAUCAGCAGGGUAGUACUUCUCCAUGGUCCCUUUCUUGUUGUAGAUUCGACAUAACACCCAAUCAUCAAGCUGUAAUUAAAAAAAAAAAAAAUUAAUAAUCUAAAUCAUUAUUACAUUCAGACAAACAAAAAAAAAAGGAUAAGACAGAACAGAACAUACUCGAAGGUUGUUCUUUUUGUUAACAGAAGCUGAUCUGUCAACAUUAGCGAGACGAUACUCGUGCAUGAUCCAGUUCGUCUUAAUCCCUUUGGGAGCUUUCCCAGCGUAGAACACGAGCGCUUUCUUAAUACCCAGCGUCUUCGGUUUACCGAUCGGUUUAUCAGCUCCGGUGGCUUUCCAAUAACCGGUUCCCGCCGCCCGGUUAGGACGCGAACCGUUUGGGUAUUUCCGGUCUCGUGGCGAGAAGAAGUACCACUCUUUCUCUCCGUACAGAGACAUCUCUGUAAUAAAAAAACAAAAAACAAAUCUCUCGAUUAGCAAACGAUUCUCGAGAAAAAUCUCGAUUAAUGAUUAGAAAACCAAUUCGAUUUUUACCAGGAAGCUCCCAAGGGUUGAACUUGUAGAGAUCGAUUUCGGCGAUGACCGGAGCAGAGAUCUCCUCCGAUGCGCAUUUCCGGCAAAGGUAGAAUUGCACAAGCUCUUCGUCCGUUGGGUGGAAUCGGAAUCCUGCUGGUAAGUUUAGCCCUGCUUUCAUUUUUUUUUCAAAAGUCUUCUCUUCUCUUCGAGAUCUGGGGUUUGUCUGGUGAAGAUUGGAAUCGAGGAGAUGAGAGUGAGGAGACGAAAGGUUUUAUAAGGACGAGAAUUGCGGAAAUUAAUCUAAUUUAAUUUAAUUUAAGAUAGAGAGGGAUGACACGAGGGGAGAUUUUUUUAAGCACGUGCGGCAAAACUCGGCCGUUUUCUCUUCUAAACGCUGACGGCAGCCAGCUGGGGACGUACGUGGCCUAGUGUUAGUGGAUGGUCGACGUAGUGAAAAGUAGUGAUGAUGUCACUGCUUGCGUCACCCGCGCCCUUUGUAGAUUGUUGACCGACCUAAGUGUGUGUCAGCACCUUGAUCCCCUGCUUCAAGUGUAGCUUAUCCAUUUUGUUCAGAAUUGGUAAUGAGAUCUUUUUUUUUGGGUCUAACUUGGUAAUGAGAUUUAUAAAACUUUCAACAGUUGUAUUGUAGAGUGAGGGAGGAGUAAAUAAUCAAAUACAAUCCUUUUAAUUAAUUUGAGGAGAUCUAGUAAUGCGUAUUUAUUACUCUAUGUAUUAUAUUAUAUUAAGUAUCGUUGUAAAGAAUUUUUUCCGUUACAAAAUAAGUAUCGUUUUCAAUUUUCAAUGUAAAAUUUAUUAAUUUUAUUUAACAAUUAAUUUUUCUAUUGGUUGAAAUAUGGUUACCUGUAUAAGUAAUUGUGUUUUCAUAUAAAAAAUAUACAAAAUUAAUUAUUUUUUAAUAUGUGUGCACAAAUUCAAAGUGACAUUUAAAAUGAAACAGAUGGAGUAAUACUUAAAAAAUUUUGGCUCGCUAUUAUUCCAUAUGUUUCGAAAAAUAAAUGUUUUAAAAAAAUAUGUUUUAAAAUUUCACACAUAUUAAAAAAAUAUAUGAAAUUUUGAUUAUUAAUAAAUUAUUUUUGUACGUAACUAUUUUCCGUAACUUUAACCAAUACAAUUUCAAUAAAAAACUAUUUAAAAAAAAUACAAUUUACUAUUAAUUAAUAUAUUGACAAUGUAUUUUUUUUUAAUAUAAAACAUGUAUCUUUUUAAGAAGUAUAAUUUAAUUUAAGAUUCUUAACUAAGAUUAUUUAUGUUUUCUCAUAUUUGUUUUUUUGUGGGAACAAUAAAUGUCCUCAGCAGCCAUACUUUUAUUAUAUUCAAAUGGAUACACUAUUGUUAAACAUUGCUGAAGAUAAGUCAGAAUUCCUUGAGGUGGAAGUUUUGGGUGUGUCUUGUGAUUGGACAGCCGAUGAUGAAACUACGGUGGGCUUUGUCGCAGUAUAUAAGAACUUCUUCCUUGAGCGAAGCUCGCGUCAUGGCUAAUGAUGGAUGAGGUCAUCUAACGUUGAAUCGUAGUCUAGUUGAGCAAUAGCCAGUCGUACUCACGCACUCGCGGCUUCUUUUUUUUGUUCCUUACAUAAUCUGUAUUUUAAACUAGAUUUUUCGCGACUUGCAGUAUUUGUACAAUAUACUCUGAUUUGUUUAAGUUUUUUAAAGAAUAAACAUGAAGUCUCUUCUAUGUGAAAAUCUUUUAAAUGAAAGUUGAGGUAUGUGUGUAUUAGGGACUGACGUGGGCGUGUUCCCCGUUUGAUGAUCAUCAUCACUUACGUUUCUUAUCAUAUAUAUAAAUAUGAUUAUGUUCUCUUCAAGUUGGUGUUGUUUAAGACUUGGUCUUUCAUUUUAGUAUUAGAAUUCCAUUAAUGUAUAACACGAACUUUUGUUGGUCAGACAUGACUUUUUGUCAAUUAUGAUUUUUAUUUAUUGAUAUAAUAACGCAGAUAUUUGUAUAAGUCGUAUCGUUUCAUACACAUAAUUUUAUUUUAAUAAUUAAGAGCAAUGAAGACUUGUAGUUGUACUAUGCAUGUAUUCAUAAUUGCCUCCCCAUUCGUAACACUAAUCUUGGGAGUUUAUCGGAUGUGAAUUUUAAGUAAGAGUUAAGCCAUUUAUAACAGUUUCAUAUAUAUUUUCUCCAAAAUUUGUUUAAGUAUAACAACUUCAAAAGUUUAAUAACUUCUGAGUAAGAACUUAGAAAAUUAUCAUCCUGAUAACAUCAUAUUAAAAUAGAGUUACAUAACCAAUGGUACGUAACAAAAACAUUUUGAAUAGCAAGAAAAGAAUUAGGAAAACAGAAAUUUACUAGAAACAUUAAAAUUCACCAUUAAUUAACCAUUACGAAUAUAAUAUUCUUUUCAGGUAAAGCUACCAAUAAAACAAGAUAGAGUACUUAAAACAAACCCUAGACUAUUAUAAGAAGCGCCCUAAUCAUAAUGAUAUGAACAAGUUGUUUAUUGUCGUUUUGGGGUGGUAACAAUCAAGUUAUUUAUAAGUAAAAGAUACGAGUCAUAGGACCAAUAGAAUAAUAUGAUUUUUCCAAUUACAAAAAUCAGAUAAAUUGUAUCUGGACUUGAUCUGAAUUUGUUAUUAUACAAAUAGAGAAAUCGACUUCAUACUUUUUGCAGUUGUUUGUUUAGUUCAAGUCGUUGUGUGAAUUGAAAUAGGAAGCUUCGUGGAGCUUGAUGUUAUAGCUGCCUAACUUGACCUAAAACAUAUAAAUAUAUACCUUCUUUUUGUGGUGGAUUAUUACUUUAUGUGUUCUGUCGUAUUUAGGUCUUUUAGGAAUAUGCUUAAGAAGUUGGAUAAGGAGACAAGCUGGGACCUCGUUGUCGAAUAUUUAACAACAUGGAGGAUCGCAUAACAUACUAUUCAUAUGACUACUUGUCUUAUUCGAUGAUAUAAAUAUUUUAUAACUCGUGUGUAUGUAACAGUAAAAUCAUUUCUACGACAUGAUGAUUUUGAAAACGUGGAUUGUGUUGUAGAAUUUCCAUUGAGUAUGAGUUUAUGACAUAGAUUGCGACUUCUGAACUUAACAAUACUCGAUACUAAUGGGCCAUAUGCAGCAACAUAAAGACAACAUGCCAAAUUUGGGCCUUUAUAUGGGCCAUUACGAAAAUUGUAGCUGCAGGCUCUCAAUUAUUCAGUGCUAGAGAUUGUAAACAGUUGGAUUACACAGAGGAAACAUUGCGACUGUCUUAGAUACUGCAUCAACCAACAGAUGCUUGAGUAGCAUUAUGUGCUGAGGUGUUGCUGUUUAAUGAUGCAGCCACCGCUUCACGCUCCUUCCGGAUUCGCUCUCUCUAUCAAAAUUUCAAUGUAAACAACAGAGUAACAAAAAGCCAAAGUUAGUCAGAGAUUGGCAUGUGCACACAAAAAGAGUGGAAGUUUUAGCAUUUGGUAAUAUUACUAAUAUGACUUGAAGCAGAGCAUUAUAUAACAUGACAAAACGCUCCAAAAGAUGGAAAACUAUACACAGACACAAGAGAGAUUCACGUACUUAAAAGAAAUGUUAAUCUACACACUUGGAGACAAGAAACAUACCCUUCUCUCCCAGUAGGGCAAGAAGCAGACGAAGUCAUAGACAGGAGUGAUGGUCUGCACCAAAACAGCGUUGAUUCCAGUGAAAAGCAAGAGUCCCGUCAAAGGCCUUGUUCUGUGUGGCAUCUCUCUUUCUUUCCAAACUCUGUGAAGAAUCUUCAGCUCAGUAAAUCAUUUAUUAACAUCUCUCUCUCAGUCAAGAGUCAAGAUUAUCCUAACUAAAUCUUAACAAAACAUAAUCAAAUUCAAAAAGCAAAGCAUUUACUAGUAGUGAGAUUGACUCUCAAGAUAUUAAUAGUAAUCAACAAAUUAAAAUUCUUGUAACAGAUCACUGAUUGAUUGAGAGAAAAUGAGAGUAUUGACUUACGACGGAGAUUCUUCGAAAACUCGUCAGGCGACGAAGAGAGAUCUCGGUGGCUUCUUUUUAAUUAGGUCUCUGUUUUUAUUUCCAAAACGACGCCGUUUAGUUAAGUGAAAGAUAUAACGGUGGAUAAGCGCGCAACGUGGCUACUUACUCAACCAAGAAGGACCUUCCAACGUCCGAUCCUCCUCGUCUUCUCUUUUUUCCUUCUUCUUUUAUUUCUGGAGAUAUUUAAAAAAAAAAAUACAAAAAUUAAACCAAAAAAAAAAACUGAAGAAAUCUCGUUUCUUUCAUCCGCCAUUAACGACCUCUCAAGGUAUGCUCUUUGAUUUUUUAAAUUUAUUAUUCAAACCUAAGCUUCUAUUUUUCUGUGAAUUUAUUGUCGGUGAAAGUCGAUUGAUUUAUUCUCAUUAGUGCCAUUUCUCAUUAGAUCACUUUUCUAAUGAUAAUGGGAAUGUUCUUCCUUUUCCCUUUAUCUCACCUAAGCUUGCUUGAUUCAUUACUUAGCUAUUCAAUGAGUUAAUGUUUCUCUUAUUUUCAGACAUGUUCACCAUGUGUCAACCACUUCGGUCUAAGGCAAACUUAGUGAUGCUGUUUAAAGGAUAUAGACGGUUUGUGAGAACAACAUGCCGAGUUUCAAUCCCUGGAGGUUCUUUGGGAAACGAAUUAAAAGCACCUCCAAGGUUUCUUAGGGAUAAAAAAAUAGUUCCUGAUGCUGAUCCUCCUCAUAAAGAAGAUAUCCACAAGCUCUAUCAACUUUUUGAGCAAAGGUACCAUCUUUUAUUCAGCAUAUAUAUAUAUAUAUGAUCUUUUAAAUCUAAUGGCUUUCUUCAUUCUCUUGUCUAGUAAAAGACUCACCAUCUUGACUGGAGCUGGGAUUAGCACUGAAUGUGGCAUCCCUGAUUACAGGAGGUUACUAUUGUUCAUUCAUAUUUGAUCUAAUGGUCUUGGUUUGGUUUUGUAAUGAUUAUUUGACGUGUUAUUGUUUGGUGCAGUCCCAAUGGAGCAUAUAGUUCUGGUUUCAAACCAAUUACCCACCAGGUGAUCUGAAAGCAAGAUUGAAGUCAGUGAAAAAAAAUUGGAUUUGUUUAAUUAUUUUACUGUCUACAAUUCUCUUUUCUACAGGAAUUCACUAGAUCAAGCCGAUCUCGUAGGCGGUAUUGGGCAAGGAGUUAUGCUGGAUGGAGACGGUUCGCUGCAGCACAGCCAGGUCCAGCUCAUACUGCUUUAGCAUCACUUGAGAGAGCUGGACGAAUUGAUUGUAUCAUAACGCAAAACGUUGACAGGUAAAACUUAUCAGAGAUCUCUCUUCUCUGUUGGAUGUUGUUGGCUCUUAAGCUCUAAGUUUCUUAGGUUGCAUCAUCGUGCUGGGAGUGAUCCGCUUGAGUUACAUGGGACAGUGUAUACUGUUAUGUGCUUAGAUUGUGGCUUCUCUUUUCCUCGAGACUUGUUUCAGGAUCAGCUAAAAGCUCUCAAUCCUAAGGUCAGUGUUAUAUAGCAUAACUCGAAUCAACUGACUUAAUUUACACUCAGCAAAGUUGUUACUCUUACUGUAGUGGGCAGAGGCAUUAGAAAGUAUUGAUCAUGGAGAACCAGGAUCAGAGAAGACCUUUGGCAUGAAACAAAGGCCUGAUGGUGAUAUUGAGAUCGAUGAGAAGUUUUGGGAAGAUGGUUUUCAUAUACCAGUUUGCGAGAAGUGCCAAGGAGUACUAAAACCUGAUGUAAGAACUGAGAUAGACACAAAGCAUUUAAGUUCUGUUUCUAAUUAUGUUUUUCUUUUUUUUUUGUAAGGUAAUCUUCUUUGGAGACAACAUCCCAAAGGAAAGAGCUACUCAAGCAAUGGAAGCUGCGAAACAAAGUGAUGCAUUUCUAGUGCUGGGUUCGUCUUUGAUGACAAUGUCUGCUUUUCGUCUUGUCAGGUAAUGCCAGAGAACAAUCUCUUACCAUAUUUUUUUGAGUUUACAUCUUAUUGAGGAGCAUAUGUGUUUCUUUUUGCAGAGCGGCUCAUGAAGCUGGUGCAAUGACUGCAAUUGUUAAUAUAGGUGUUACCAGAGCUGAUGAUAUUGUUCCUUUGAAAAUCAGUGCAAGGGUUGGUGAGGUAAGAUGAUAGUUUUAUCUCUUAUCUUCAUCCUUCAAAAACUUAGCAUUUUUUUUCAUCUGAUUGGUGCAGAUAUUACCCAGAGUUCUUGAUGUGGGAUCACUCGGUGUCCCAGCUGUAUAGGGAUUUAUCAAUCAAUUGAUUGUAACAUUCCAAUUUUUAAUGAAUACUUCAGUUCCUGCAAUGUAUCUUCUCAAGUUGUAAUUUUCAACAGAAAAUAAAGAGUAAUCUUCAUUUUAAAUGCAUAAAAUUGACGUCCAAACAAGACUUGUCUGAACCAAAAGAGAUAGAAAGAUACACCAAAGCUUACAGUUACAGAACAUAUAGUGUUCUGUCAAAAGGCUUUAGAUGAUCCAAAAAAAAACAAAAAAAAACACUGAGUCAUCUUCUACUAGAGUUUACUACUAAUUAUACAAACUUUUUAAAGCUAAGAAAGAUCAGAGAGCGCCUUGUCGAUAUCCCCUGCGUGGUUCCGAAGAGUGUUCCACUGUAAGAAAACAUUUAAGUGUCAGACAUAAGCAGAUAACAGUAGAGAGCAAAUACAUGUGAAAGUCAUAAAAAUGGGGAGAUAGGUGUUAAUUUACCUGGUCAACGCUUAGAGAGAUACCUGCAACAUAUAACAACCUUGUCAAUGUCAACACGAUUACAUGUAGAAAGCAAACUAGUUUAGACUGUUUCCUAGAGACAGGCUUAGGAAACUGAAAUUUUUUAUCAACCAAUUUCAUGUUGGAACAUACAGCAUCAACUCAACACAUAGAACAUAAACAUUCCCAAUCCAAAGAAUCGUUUAUUAGAAAACCCUGACAUAUACAGUUUCUCAAUUCCAGACUAGAUGCAGAAACAAAAACUGAACUAAACAAGCAGAUGAGCAAACACAAUGUUACAAUGCAAAACAGUGAGAACAAGAGGAACACUAACAAGAAAGAAAAAAAGAGUUAACCUUUCUUGCCGGGGAGAGUUUUGCCGUCCUUGACAUAGAACUCACGAAUGUCAAUCCAAAUCUUCCCGUUCCAGUUCCUCACAGAGACUCUCCUAUUCUUCGAUAUCUGAAUUCAAACCCCCAACAAAACAACCAUAAACCCUAAAUUGAGUAAGACACAAUCAUGACUUAAUCAUAACCAUUAAAUGUCACUGUUAUUAGAGUAGACAAGAGUCUGGAAUGAUAUAGAAAGAGAGAGAGAUGCAGCAGACUUACAUUGCAGACGACGAUGUCGUCAGACUCCUCGGAUUCCUCCGUUGGCUUUGCGACUUUCUUAGCCGGCGCGUGGGCUUCAGAUUCGUCAUCUGAUGCUCGGACACCAUCGUCUUUUCGCUUUCCUCUCCACGACAUGUUCUCUCUAGCGAAUUGACCUGUAAAAAAAAGGCUCUUUUCAGACCAAAGUGAACUAGCACUCGCGAAAAUCCGAGAAUUACAUAAUUAAGUAACCGAAAGAGAGACCUUGUCGUGAAGCUGCAGCGGUAGAGAAAGCUCUCUCCUUCUAAAGUUGGACUCUUGAGAUACUGAAGGAAAGCGAAACGCUAAUGACUCUCUGCUCGCGUAUUUAUGAAAAGCGAACACCGAACACGCGCGGUUGUAGCGAGUGUGAUAAAAUUAGAAGUAAAAUUGGAAUCAGACCGUGUUAUAUUCGGUUUUUUAACUUAAACCAAAGAAAAAACCAUAAACCAAACUAAACCGAUACGGAAACAAGUAGCAAUCUCUCGAUCUGGUUUAGGGGUUUAAGCAGCGAUGGCUCUCUGAGCUUCUUCAUUAGUGAAAUCAUCAUCGGCGACUUUGUCAACGCUUCUUCUAACUCACUCCAGGUAACUUGGUUUAGUUUUGUCUUAUUGCUAGAAGAGAGUCUACGAUUUUGGAAGAGUGUAGAGAAAGUAGUUUCAUUUCGUGAUUUAUCUCUGCCUGUGUGCCAUUCAUCUCCUAGAUGCAUAGAAAGUGUUUGUGAAAAUGCCUCAGUGAUUGUUGCUUUGCAUUUAAUUUCAUAGAUCUCUCUCCCCCCCACAAUUUGGUUUCGAGGGCUUUUGCAAAGUUAAUCGAUUUCAAAUCCUAAGAAACUGUGGAUCCCAAUGCUUUUAGAUCAUUUAGAAUGAAUCUUAUAAAUUGUUUUUUUUCAGAUGAUCUUAGUUUAGUUCACUUCAUAAACUCAAUGUAGAUCCUACUAUUUGAACCACUUCACUGUACGAUAUAACGAGAUUUCACACCGAAAGUAUUCAGUUUUUAGUAAGAAUAUAUCUUAUAACAUGAACUGUUUUAUUUAUUAAUUCUUGCUUGUGAUGAGUUUGUAAUUAAGGACUGAGCUUAGCCUAGUUCUGUAUGUUCUAAGCUCGUCUUCUUGCUUUAUUAUAAUUUUUCCUUUUUUUCUCUGCUUUGUUUCACUUCAGAUUCUAGUCAGAAGCUGAGUUGUGUGACUUGAGAUGGCGUCGGAGCAGAGCGGAUUGGAAAACCAGGAGAGCCAACCAAACCAAGUGGCUCCUGGUUUUGUAGGAGCAAUCGAAGAACAAUACAAGAAACUGAGAGAUCACGCUGAAGCUUAUCCGUAUGUUUGGGGUUCUUAUACUGUUGUCUACGGCGGUCUUUUCCUUUGGACUGCUUACAGAUGGAGGAAGCUGAGGAGAACCGAGGAUCGAGUUCGUGGCCUUCAGACCAAACUUAGGAAACUCGUCCAAGACGAACAGGCAGCUCUAACAGCUUCUAAACCUGAGAAAUCACUGGACAAGUCUUCUUCAGUUUCUGACAAGACACCAGUGCCUUGAUUAGUUAUAAUCAAAACCAUUUUCUCUGUUAUAGACUUAUGACGAGGUUGGUUUUCAGUAUUCAAGAGGUUAAAUCUGUUUUGUUACUUACAAUGCUUUGUUAUUUACCAUCAUAGGCUUUUUAUAUAAAGACAAAUUCAUCAUGUACAUUAAUGAAGAAAAGAAUACGCUGAAAUGUUGAAACGCGAAAAAAAGCGUUGUUGAACGUUUGCUGUUUUAGCAGAGGGAGGCUCAAUAAGUUGAAGCGUUUUGCCUCAAAUUGUUUGCGUUAUGUCAUGUUUAUUUAAAGUUUUAUUUAUUAUCGGUACAUAUCGUUUCUUAAAAGGUUACGUAUACAUAUGGAUGUUUUCAAGAAAACGCUGAAAUGUUAGAAACGCUGUUGUUUUGGACAUAACCAUUAUCAUGUCCAAGAAGCAUGACCUUGUCCUGGUUCAUGUCUUUAUUAUAACUACUUGUUUUUUCUUGGCUUGCUACUUUUAGUAUUUAGUGAAAUUUUUGAAUGAUUUUUAAUGAAGUUAAUUCGAUCCAAGAUUAUAUAUAUUCGAUCUUAAAUAUUUUCCCUAAUGGGUAAACCAACCACUGCAAAAUCCAAGUCAUCAUUUUAGAAACAUGAGAAUCCAACGAAGUACUAGAGACUGCUGAUAAUGGAGGUUUUGCGAGACAAAAGAGAUGAUGAAAGUAAGAACUAAAAGAAGAGUUUUAGAAAAAUAUAUACAAGGGAGCUCAUUGUCAUGGUUCAAUGGUCUCUCUCAAAUGAGCAUUUCAGACAAGGAGAGAACCGAAUUGGCAGAAGAGGAUUCUUGGUUUCAAACCUCUUUUUCACAUGUCUGGUCCUUGUCCCAUGGACGCAGAAAAGCCAUAAGGAUCCUCAUCAUUAUCAGCAGCGGAGAAAUCAAACUGGCCUUGAUUGCUCAGAUAAGAGUCACUGGCAUUCCCAUUUUGAGGUGGUGCUAAUGGAGCUGUGAGAUCCUGUAGCUCCAAGUACAGCUCCGAGUUUUCAAUUAGGUCAAAAGAGGGUGUCCUUGGCAUGCUGUUGUGCUGCAUAUUGCUGAAGUCUGGUAGUUCGCUGAAUAUGUCUUCUCCUUCUCCUAAGCAGAUUGGAGCAGAGACAUUGGCAUCAUGUCUUAUCUGUAAAAUGAUAAAUUAUGAGACAAAGAAGUAUGUCAUUAAGACACUAACAGUUGCAAAGCUGCGUUACUAGCCUAGCACGCAGUAAUACCCACUAAGAUCAUAUAUCAUGACACUAAGCAAAAGAAAAAUGAUGCUGAACACCUACCUCAUAGUUGCUGGGCUCAGGGAAACGCAAGAACUCAUCCUCGUCAACAAAUAGAUCCAACAUUGAAUAUAAGUCAUCAUAGUUGUUGGUGGGAGCUUCAAGGGUCGGUGGUGCCAGAGAGGCAGUGCUGUUAGAAUCAAGAAGUGGUGCAGCAGACAUAGGAGUGUUAGCCGCAUCAUUCAGCUGCGGAAGAUCUCUGGUAGUAGUAGUGGUAGUAGCUGAUAGGUAAUCAGAGACGCACGAUUCAGAUAUCAUGCCACCAAAACAAUCCUUAGUAGGAUCACGUGAGGACGAUGCCACAACAAGACUGGUUUCUCCGUGAAUGAUUGCUGGACCGUUGGUAGCAGGAACAUCCUCAUCGCUCCAGUCUUCAUCCUUAAACGGAGCUCCAUACUGAGCUCCAUUUCUAGGUCCGGGUCCAUCUUUCUUGAAUAGAACACAUAGCACAUAAGUAUCCUGCAGCUCAAAACACAAGAAAUCAACGAAGACAGAUACACAAGCACAAGUUGAAAUUAUAUUAGCCAUUUUUAGAUUAGUAUAUUACCUGAGGAACAUUCUUCUCUGUGAGCACCUUGUCUUCAAGCCUGUACUCAUGCAUAACCCAAUCAGUCCGCUCCCCACGAGGCGACUUACCAAAGUGAUAAACAAGAGUCUUAAUCUUCCCCGCAACUUCACCGUUGCACAAAACGUCUCUCUCCUUCCCUGUGGUCUUCCAGAAACCACAGGCAGUCGCACGGUUCGCCCUAACUCCAGUAGAAUAUUUCUUCUCCCUUGGGCAGAAGAAGUGCCACUUCAGAUCCCCACUCUUUAUAAAGGACUUAUCAGGUAAAUCAGAAGGUUCGAACUUGUAGAUGUCGACCUCAGGAAUAGCAUCAACGAGGAGCUUUUUCCCCAACACCUUCCUCUUCAAGUAAUACCUCACGAGCUCGAUAUCAGUGGGAUGAAACCGGAAUCCAGGAGCCAGCUGAGUUUUCCCCAUUGGGAGAGAGAUCCAAAAGCCAAAAGGGGAAAACUUUCACUAUUUGGGAACUGUUUCUUCAAGUUUAGUAGUAACCGAGAACAAAUCAAACAGAAAAAAUUGCAGAGAAGCUAAGAAGAGAAGAGAGAGGUGAGAGAGAAGGGCUAAGUCCAGUGCCUGAACAAGAUGAUCUGAAAGCACCACAACUUCCCCCUGCUCAUAUAACCACAAUCACACCAGAGAAAAGAUGGGUUCUUCUUGCACAGAUCAACAGACAUCUGGUGUGCAAACUUAUAAAGCCUGUUGUUUAAGACAUUGACAUACGAAAAGACUUCAACUUUACAACCAAAUCAUCAAACCCAGAAAGAGUAAAACCCUAAUUUCAGGAGCUAAAAGGGGAAAACGAAAUUAGACGACUACACAGGGAAGAACAUUGCAAUCAAAAUCGAGAGUCAUGGCGGAAUUAGAAUCAGAGACAUUGAUUGAUUCCGUACCAGGAGAGAGGGGAAAUGCUUUGACGGUGGAGGAGACGAUCGGCGCGAGUGAGAGAGUCAAAGAGAGUGGCGUGAAAGAGAAGCCAUAAGUGAAGAAAGUGUUUUACUUUUGGUCUUGUUAGGGUUUAUAUUAGAUGGAGCUCGUUUACUAAAAUGAGGGUGGGCCUAUAUGCAUACAAGGCCGUGAAUUACCUUUUUUUUUUUUUACUUUUUAAGUUUUAACUUUAAAGUUCACUUUUCUGAUUUAACCUAUGUUGAAAGUUCUAUAAAUUCAUUUUUUUAUUUACAGAAAAUAUUAUAUAUUCUUGAAAUGUAGUUAAUUAUUUAUAUUUUUUGAACCCUCUAUAAUACUGAGAAACAAAAGUAUAUCAUCAUUUUCAACCUCGGAUCAUAAUGCAAUCAACAUAAUGAAUUUGAAUAUAUGUAAAUAUGUUAUAGACUUAUAGGGUUGUUUUCGUUUUCUAUUUAUGUGUAGACAUAUACAAAUAUUAUUUCUGCUGUUCAAAAAAAUUAUUAAUAUUUAACAGGAAGCAAAUUCUAAAAAAAACAAUCUAUAUAUAUAAAAAAUUGUUGGUCUCACUCCUGCUUUGCCACGUGGAAAGUCGAUGUUUGAUAGGCCGACACGUGUCCCUCUCUUCGGGAUACUCUGCGUUUCAUUAAGUAACCAGCGACAUUUAUUGGGCUUAGUUGAGUUUGGUCUUUACGCUUUACUCAAGUGACCGAGCCCAAUAUUGAGUAACCUUUAUCUCCUCUACCGUGUCUGAUCGAAAUUUAGGGUUCUUCUAUUGGUGGAUUCGAUUACGCCGGUCGAGAUUCUUCUUCAUUAGUCGAAAAAAUGCUUCUGUUUCAUCCCAUUUAACCUCUUCUUAACUCGAACAACCACUAUAUAGCCAUCAAUGUGAAGUUCUGUCUUGCGAGUCUGGUUUUCCUCCUCUGAAAACCAUCACCUCAAUCCCUCAAAACCAACCAUUAAAUUUAUUUUCUGAGAACUGGCUAGCGCAUCAAUUUUCCUUUCUGAUUUGAAGACCGGACGAUGCUCCUCCACCGUUGAAUUGCGGUUGAUCCGUUUCUGGGAGGCCAGGAACGUCUUGAGGCGGUGGCGAACUCAGGGGAGUGGAUAAGCUCAUACUGGAUUCACAGGUUGUUAUGUAUCAUAGCUUGCGUUCAUAAUUUUAAUUUUUUUUUCCGGCGUGUUAAAUCCGCCUUAUCAAGUUUUUCUAUUUAGAUAUUUGUUUGACGUUUUAUAAAUGAGGAAUAUUUAGUCCGUGCGUUGAUUGUUCUGUCAUAUUUUUUUAAUGUUUCUGUCAUGUUGAAUCCUUAUUACCAAGUUUACUGUUUAGAUUUUUGUUUGACAUAUUUUGAGUAAGGCAAUUUAAAACCGUUUGUUGAUUGUUCUGUAUAUUCAUGUGGGUUUGAGGCAACCAUUGCUGCGACUUGCUUGCUUGGAAAGCCUGCAAUGAUAAUCAUGACAUACCAGAAGAUGUAGAUAUACCAUUGUAUAUCGAACCUUCAACUUGAUCACUUUUUGACGGUUGUAACAACUAUAAACGCAAGACGGGUCAAAGCAGAGAUUAUAUGCACACUCAUCAUGAAGUACGCAGAGAAUUGGUUGCCACUAAUCGAAGAUGAUUUGGAAAUAAUACGAGGUUACAGGUCAGGAAACAUUGAGUUGCAGUUCAGUGUUGAACGAGAGAGAACGGAGGAAAGAAGUUUAGGAUGUUAAGAACAAAAGUGAAUCAUAGAAAGCUUAGUAAGUGUGCUUCAUACACAACCUGGAACAGUACCAUGCCAGUUUCUGUUGAGGUUACUGAAUCAACUUUAUAAAUGUAGAAAUGAUCAUUUUUUAAUGCAAACGAUGAAUGUAAAGCUAUGGUUACUGCAGCUAUGCUCGCAUAUUUCGAUGGUGACUAACGGCCAAGCGCAGCAGAGGAUCUUAUAUACCAAAUAAGUCAAUAAGAAGAUGGCACAAAGAGAAAAAAGAAAGUAAUGAUCAAGAAAACAAUUACCAAAAAGUCUCUAAAAGCUUCUGGACAUCUGAUUUAUCUGGGAAUGCUUCUAAGGAUCUGCUGCUAAUGCAUAAAGUAAUUUUUACUUUCUAUAAAAUAAUUUACAAUCUUUUAUGUUCGUUUGUUUUCCUUUUGCGACAACUGAGGACUUUUUUGCUGUCCACUUGCAAACUUCUUGCACAUAUUGUUGUACGGUGAUGGUAUCUUGAAUUGUUGUAUGCAGUCGGUGCAAAUACUGUCAGAUUUGUGAUAAGUGAGAGCUCCUCCUUUCUCUUUUGCUCUUUGAUUUUUAUAAUAUUUUUUGUUGUUGUUGUAUCGUACAUGAGAAUAUUACUGAUUAAAAAAAUGUUAUCCUCCCUUUCAGGUCUUAUGAAGCUAAACAGAGGCGUGAAGACAUGAAGACAUCCUGUUAAUUUCAAUGAUACACGUACAUUAUAAACCGAUGUCGAAAUAUAUUAAAUUUUUUUGUAAUGCUCAGGUUUAAUUAUUAAAAUAUGAUAUUUUUACUAAUUAGAGUUACAUUUCUCAAAUAUAUUGUUUUAAAUAUAAACAAAAGUAGGUUAAAUUUAUAUUUUCACAUACACAACAAUUCUGAAAACUCAUUAAAAUUUGCUAAAAAUAAACGUAGUUAUUAUUAUAAAUUAGAGUUAUAAACCCGCGCUCAGUAUAUAUAUAUUUUUAAAUAUAAUCCAUUAGAGAUUCAAAGUAAUCCUUUGCUUUAUGAUCCAUUAAAUAUAAUCCUUAGGUUUAUGAUUCAUUAGAGAUUCAAAGUAACAAAAUAAAUUCGCUUUUCAGUUUUGAAAAGAUAAUUAUGAGUUAAAAAUGAGAUAUUACUAUCCAAUAUUCAUAUAUGUAUCUCUUUCCUCAAUGUAAAACAUAAUAUCUAACUAUUACAAAACAUUUAUAUAUAAAAAGAUUAAUAUAUUUUUUUUGUCAAAAGGUUAAUAUAUUUUUAUGAGAUUAUUAAAAUAUCAUCAUAUAUAUAGAUGUUUUUUUAAUGCCACUGUAAAAAACGUAUUUUAUUUAUUUAUUCCAUAAAAAAUAUUAACAGUUAGCCAUUAAACUAAAUUAUUUUAACAAAACAAUUAAACAACCACAAAAUGAAGCUCACGGAGUUGUUAUAAUGGAGUUGUGAUAAUCAGUGGCAGAUCUAGAAUAUUUUUAUAGUGGGGACAUAUAUUAUUUAAAUAUAAAAUAAAAAUACUUAUUACAAUUAUUUGUUCAUAUAAAACAUAUUCUGUUCAAAUUUUGUUAAAUAAGAACUAUUAUUGCAUAAACAAAAUUUUGAAUAUAUAUAUAUAUUAGUUUAAAAUUUAUUUUCUAUUAUAAUAUAUUUUUUUAAUUUUUAAUAUCAUUAAAGUAAAUAUACAUUCUGAGAAAUAUUUACAUAAUAGAUAAUUAAAUUAAAUGAUUAAAAUAAAACUUGGUAAAAAGAAUAUGCGAGAAAAAAAUGGAAGAGUAUGCGAGCAAUAUAUCAUAGGACAUACCGACAUAGAUUCAAAAAUAUGUGGAAAUCAUUAAAAUAAUGACAUUUAUGGGAGAGGUAAAUUAGGAAAUAGUUUUAUGAUUUAUGUUGGAAAGAAAAAAAGUUUAAAACAAAACAAGAUCGAAUUAAAAACGUGACUAAACCAUAAAUGAACGGGGCAAAGACUUUUAGUUAGUGGGGGCAGUAGCCAAUAACGUCAGCUUUAAAAUUUUUAUUCUGGUAACAUAUUCAAUAUUUUUAAAAUUUCACUGUGGGCAGCUGCCCCCUCCCUGCUUCAUGUAGAUCCGCCCAUGGUUAUAAUAUAUAUUAGCCGACCAUUUUUUCAUUGAAACUGUACUCACACAAAAAAAUUACACCAGUAUUAUAUAAUAUUAAACCUUUUCAGAUUAGAUGUCGUUCUAAUUUUUUCACAUUAAUUAAGAAAAAUGUUAAAUGUUCCGUUUAGUCGUUUACCCCUAUUUAGUUAUUUAAAAUUUAUUAAUUCUUUUCUACUAUUAUGUAAGGAUUAAACAAAAUUAACACAUAUUAAUUUGAAAGCAUACAACCUCACUCACACCACAUCUAAUUUUUCAUGCGGUUGACCUCUGGUAAUCAUUUCCUCGCACACAUCAUUUAGUAAAGCAAACAACACUUACACAUAUGAGUUCCAAAGCAAAUCUAACACACUACCAAUAAGAGCUACACCAUAUUUUCCCCAAACAUCUUAACAACCAUAAACAUUAUUAUACAUUUUUUUUCAUAUCCUAACAUAAAACACAUGCAAAGAAAACAUACAAUAAUAUAGACAUAUACAUCAUAUGUAAAUCAUAUCCCGCCCGUAGGGCGGGCCGAUCCUAGUUAUUAAUAUUUAUGUGUAUAUAUAAUUCUAAAGUUUGGUAUUCAAUAUUUAAUCCUAAAAAUAAAGGGCAAACUAAGAAUGAAAUCUGUAACAGACUAAGAAGUUUUAUAGCAUAAUAGCCUAGUUGAAUAAUUAAUGUGCAUUGGAUAUAAUUAACUAUUAUCUUUGAACUAAUAAUUUAUAUGCAUUGAAUAUAAUCAAUAGUAUUAUCUUUGAAUUUCUUACCCAAAAAGAACCAACUGUUUAGACCACCUUGUGAAUUAUAAAUCUAUUACGCAUGCAGGCUAAAAAUUAACCCGGAUUAUAGGGGUGAUCCUUUCCUUCCUCUCUAAGAUUACAAACGAACUCUUGAUUUGCCUCAUUUCGUUUGAGUUUUCGAUAGAUGAUUCAGUGUGGUAUUGUGAUUAAAUGUGACAAAAUCUAUAAAUAAUAAUCGCUCAAUUCAAAUAAUAAAAAUGAAGGAUGUGUGACAGAGCACACAUUAUAACCAAGUCUUUAUAAUGUCAUAACUAAAAAUAAGCGGUCUCAACAAGAGAACUCCAUAGUUACUCACAAGAUAAAAGCAAACUCUUAACUAAAAAUGAUAGGGGUGUUAGAUACGGGUGAACAUUAUGACCAAUGCGCCGCUGAUUGCAAGUGACAAGACAGAGAUUGAAGAUCCAUGGUUACUAUGAGAAGGGCUUGGAGCUGGAGCAGAAUUUGAACCUGGUCCCGAUCCAUUUAGUGGUCUAGCAGCAGGAACUGGAGCUGUUACAAAAAAAAAAACAUAGUAGACGAUAGUCAAAACACAUAGUCAAAGUUGAUACAUCAACAUGCAUUAACACCAUUUUUAUCGUAAUGUCUAUUGACUUUACAGUUCCCCUACUUUAUUGUUAUAAUAAAGUGAAACAAAACAUGCUUCAAGCAAGAGAAGUCCAAAGAUCCAAAGCGUGAAAAAAUCAGAAAUUUCACAAACCAUGAAAAUAAAUAACAAUGGUAAAAAAAAAAAAGAAAUUUGAUUAUUAAUCCAAAAGUAAAUAUUUUCAGAUGGCAUGCAAAAUAAAAUUAAAAAAGACCAAAGAAACUAAAGAUUGAUUUACGAUGAAAUCAACAAAGAGAAAGAGAAUAUACCUGGCGCACUAGCAGGGGGUUUAGCAAACACUGCAACACAACAACAACAACAACAACAAAGAUCUCUGUUAGAGAAGAGCACAAGAUCUAACCAAAAAUAUUAUAUACAACAACAACAACAACAAAAGAUCACGGUUAGAGGAGAGCAAUAGAUCUAACCUCAUUUAUAUACAACAAGAACAACUACAAAAGAUCUUCUGAGAGAUGAUGAAGAAAAAUCUUACAUGCACAAGCAGGCAUGGGAGGAGCUUUGAGUUGGCAAGCAUCGGGAAGAGUACCGGCUUUAGUGAGGUUCAGAUUGAUUCCCGCGGCGGCACUGCUCUUCAACCCUUCGCACAGACAUUCAGCUUUCGUGUCGAGCACGGUUUUGAUAACAGAGCAACACGCGGUCUCGGGCUUCUCCACUUGACUACCGAUCGUCACGAAAGGCAAACACUUCGUCAAGGUCAUUAUCAUGGCGGAGCAUUCGACGGACUGUGCAGUGUUUCCGUUAACAGAAAGAGAGGAAACAAAGAGGAAGAGGAGGAGGAGAGGAAGCGCGGCGGAGAAGAGGGCCAUUGUUUGAUUAUCUGUUGUUGUUGUUUUAACUCGUCUGAUCACUUAGAGAGAAAUGUGUAAGAGAAUGAGAAGAAGGGUAGUGUUAUUUAUAUAGGUCUGAUCUUAGGUCAUGUUAAAACGGUGUAGUUUUCGCGUACGCGUUUAGUGGAUUAUUAUGGGAAUCUCAAUGAAAUAACUUGACCAUUUUAAUUUGAUUUGAUCCUUUAAGUUAAUCAACAUUUGUCAUUAAAGAGUUUUAUUUUGAAUAAUUGAUUUAUUACCUAAAAUUGCUUUAUUGGAAGAAUAUUGAAGUAGAAACAAAGAGAAAGUCCAAGUAAAAUAUAUUCUUCACACGCUUUCCUUAAAUUGUAGUAUUUCGUUUUCAAACUUUUUUGCUAUCAUACCAUAUUCGUCGUGUAUUCGUGUCAGUGCUUGCUGUAUUCCAAUCUUUUUAUUUUGUAACUAUCUUGGGUUUGAGUGUAUAAAUAUUAAUGUUUGACUACAGUAAACAACUCUUUUAAAAAUAUAUACAUAGCUGUAAGUUUAGGCAAAACAACUCAAGAAUAUCAUCAUUUAUGUUUUAUUCUAUUUAGUAAUUAGCAUAAAUACAACAAAUCCUAAAGAAAAAAAUAUCUAAGAAUUAAUUUAAGUUUGAGCUCUUUUUAGGGAUCCAUUUAGUGGUCUAGCAGCAGGAACUGGAGCUGUUACAAAAAAAAAAACAUAGUAGACGAUAGUCAAAACACAUAGUCAAAGUUGAUACAUCAACAUGCAUUAACACCAUUUUUAUCGUAAUGUCUAUUGACUUUACAGUUCCCCUACUUUAUUGUUAUAAUAAAGUGAAACAAAACAUGCUUCAAGCAAGAGAAGUCCAAAGAUCCAAAGCGUGAAAAAAUCAGAAAUUUCACAAACCAUGAAAAUAAAUAACAAUGGUAAAAAAAAAAAAGAAAUUUGAUUAUUAAUCCAAAAGUAAAUAUUUUCAGAUGGCAUGCAAAAUAAAAUUAAAAAAGACCAAAGAAACUAAAGAUUGAUUUACGAUGAAAUCAACAAAGAGAAAGAGAAUAUACCUGGCGCACUAGCAGGGGGUUUAGCAAACACUGCAACACAACAACAACAACAACAACAAAGAUCUCUGUUAGAGAAGAGCACAAGAUCUAACCAAAAAUAUUAUAUACAACAACAACAACAACAAAAGAUCACGGUUAGAGGAGAGCAAUAGAUCUAACCUCAUUUAUAUACAACAAGAACAACUACAAAAGAUCUUCUGAGAGAUGAUGAAGAAAAAUCUUACAUGCACAAGCAGGCAUGGGAGGAGCUUUGAGUUGGCAAGCAUCGGGAAGAGUACCGGCUUUAGUGAGGUUCAGAUUGAUUCCCGCGGCGGCACUGCUCUUCAACCCUUCGCACAGACAUUCAGCUUUCGUGUCGAGCACGGUUUUGAUAACAGAGCAACACGCGGUCUCGGGCUUCUCCACUUGACUACCGAUCGUCACGAAAGGCAAACACUUCGUCAAGGUCAUUAUCAUGGCGGAGCAUUCGACGGACUGUGCAGUGUUUCCGUUAACAGAAAGAGAGGAAACAAAGAGGAAGAGGAGGAGGAGAGGAAGCGCGGCGGAGAAGAGGGCCAUUGUUUGAUUAUCUGUUGUUGUUGUUUUAACUCGUC